UUCGUUCAAGCGGGCUGACUAACCGUGUGUUUCCAAGGCGAGGCAUGGUGUUCCUGGCCAGAGUCGAGGCAGUAUUUUUGGCUGGACGAUGUUACUCCUGACGCCGCAUCGUUGCGUCUUCCCUGUGUGCAGUAAUGGCACGGGCUACCGACGAUCUACCAUUGGUUUUGCUUGCGUCCAGUGGCUGUGCACUGUGCAAGUGGUCACGAUUGUUCGCCACCGUUGUAAAUCGGCGUUAGAUGCAUCAGCUAGAGUAGCCCGCGGGCUGGAAUUCGUUGCAAACUAUGACGUGCUCGGAUAUGUAUGUACUGCACUGCAACUUAUGAUGCGUGCUCGGAUAGGCGCAUUCUUCAGUCUAAAAUACAGUAUAACCUUAAGUCCUGAAUUCUGAUCCAGGACAAUUCUUAAUUUCAGAUGGUUGCUGUUAAAUAGCUGGGAUUUGUUUUCUUUGUAAUCAUGCAAGAGCUGGUGAUAUGUUGAUUGGUGUACAUCUAAUGACUUCUUGGUAUCUGAAUACUGUCGGCCCGAGUCUUCCUUCGCAUCCCAUGUAGAAAAACAGUACAAGCUGUAGAGAUGAACCAACAGCUGUACACAAUUAUGCAGCAACAGAUCAGAUCAGAUCAGAUCAGAGUCGAACGGUGGACUGGUAAUACAGACACAGAGAAGGAAAAGAAGCAAUAGUUUUGCAGGUUAUUCUUUUAUUUUUUUGCGGGGAGUUUAGCAGGUUACUCUCUGCCAUCGUAGUUGAAACUUGAAACAACAUAGUAUCACCCAACAGACUGCCAGGCAUCAAACUGGACUAGUGCUUUUCUCGGAUAAUUAUUAUUCAGCCGGAAGUAUAUCUUGACGCCGAGAUGCAUAUGCGCGGGCAGCAGCAGCUUCAUGAGGCCGUGGAUCCUGUUCGCUCCGAGAUGUCGACCGACAGAUCACAAAUUCACAUAGUUAUUAUGAUAUCUCCAACUUGGAACAGCGACAAAUGGAACACCACAAUGUAUGAACUACAAAAAGCUUCCACAAAUAAGCAAAUGCAGAGUAGAGAAACAUCAAUUUUCAGAAGAGGGCUUCGCAGUGCUGACCCGAGCUCCCCUCCGUGGUGCCCAAACUCUUGGCGUGUAGGUACCCUCAUCACCUACUGGCCAAGGAGACGCAGAGCAUCUCCACCCACACGCCCUCAAUCACCUUCCAUGGACUGUCUUGUCAUCCUUGAGGAUCUACCGUGGUGAGGAGAUCUUCCACACCAGGCAGCACACCCACGGCCUUCACCAGAGGCGUCGUGAAUACACCGAGCAGCGGUACAUCGGUGAUCUGCUGUUGCGCCCAUGUAGUAGAAGCAGAAAUCCAUGGUGGUGUGCCAGAGAAGAACACUCAUCGAAUGGCCUCCUUAAGCUGCAACCUAGAACUUCCAGUAACUGCCGGGGUCCUUGAUUUGAUCUUCCCACCCAGCUCUGUAAUGGCAAAGGAUGAGUUGCAGGGCUUCAUGGACCAAAUUUGACCAAUGCAAUUGAAGAAAAUCAAGAUGCACAGCUUCCUUAUCGCGGGCAAAGAAUCCCAUCAGAUAAACAGGCCAAAUACACUCUCAGGCAGCAGGCUUCCGGCAUGGCCGAUCGAUUCCAGCCAGAAGCUAGUUCACCCAACGGACUAGGAAUUGGCCAAGGAAGCUGGUAUGGCCAAAAAAAAUAAAAAAUAAAGACAACACGCAGGCAAUUAACUAGUACAUCAAAAGAUUAAAAAAAAAACUCCUCAUGCAAUUGUCAUCCGCAUUUGGUGCUCGAGAUUUGCAAAUGGAUUGAUGCUAUAGAUAAUAAAAGUAUUUUCAGAGUAAACAAAUACAGUAUAUAAUUAAAAUAAAAACUAUAGUACUAAAAAAAAUACAUGGAGAGAGGCAUGUGAUGAAAAAUAUACGCCUGUGUGCUCGGCAAGAAAAACAAACAGUUCAGCUUGCUACAACAAAUGUUUAUUUUUCAGAAAGGAGGUAUCGUCUCGGCCUCUGCAUCAUAUGAUGCACACACCCAUUCACUACCAAAAAUAUACGUACAGAAUUCCUUAAUUUUUUAGUCAUUCCCUUGGAUAAUCUUACAUUAUUAUCACGAUGUUUCGGUAAUUUUUUUUUCUACUCCCUCCGUUCCUAAAUGUAAGUCUUUUAAGAGAUUUCAAUGCAGACUACAUACGAGCAAAAUGAAUGAAUAAACACUCUAAAAUAUGUCUAUAUACAUCCGUAUGUAGUUCCUAUUGAAAUCUCUAAAAAGACUUAUAUUUAGGAACAGAGGGAGUACAUGAUUUCUGAGAACAUUUGCACCACCCAAGCCAUAGCUGAUUUCUCAAGCAAUUAUUCAUAAAAAAUCCACCCGUUGCCGUGAACAAAGUUGUCCGACAUGAAAGAGAAAAUACGUAUAUGGACACACACACAUACACCACACACGCAUUCUAAGACAAUUGUGGCACACAUGCUGGGAAAUCCCAAACCCUGGUCAACAAAAGAAAGUUUGUGCUACGCUUCUCGUUUCUUCAGCUUCAUCAUGAGCCCAUUUUUCAUCUGCAGUAAACAAGAUAGCUUGGGUUGGAUGCUCUGGCUUUCCACCAGCUCCAGGUCAAAGUUCCACACGACUGCGGCAAUGAUGGUCUUCAUCUGCACAACUGCGAUUUCCUUGCCUGGGCACAUCCUUGGGCCCGAGUUGAAGGCCAGGAACUUGUUAGAUGGCACGUACUUGAUCUUGUUGCCAUCCUCCAAGAGCCAUCUGUUUGGGUUAAAGUCAAGGCAGUCUUUACCCCACAAGCUCUCCAUUCUUCCCAUGGAGUAGAGAGAGAUGUAGAUGGCAUCACCGGCGUACACCUCAUGUCCACUUGGCAUGGUAUCAUCGGUAACCACCGUCUUGCGCUCCAUAUGCGCUGGUGGGUAUAGCCUGAGAGUCUCGUACAAGGUGGCUCUCAGAUAGACCAGAGAUUUGGUCUCCUCCGGCUCAAAGAUGACCGUGGCACCCAUGCCGCGGGCUACUUUGUGCGAUGCAAUAGGUGAGAGUUCAUUACGGAUGAUUGACACGACAUUAGGGUUCUGGGCGAGGCUGUAGAAUAUCCAUGGCAGAGUUGUGCCGAUUGUGUCCCUCCCAGCGAGCAUGAAGCUAAUGAGUGUUCCACAGAGCAAGUCAUCGUCAGCGUAGUCUGGGUCAUUGAUGUAGAGAGAUAAAAUAUCCCCCACAACCUCUUCAUCCUCAUCUUGGCCUCCGUUGGUCUUCCUCCUCUCCAUCGUAUCCACGACAAACCUGCGGAGCACUCUGUUUGCUUCGUGGAGCCUUCUCUCGGGGCCAAUAUUUAGCCACCUCAAUGUCUUCCACAAAGAGGCCGGCAUGGUGUGUCGGAGAAACCCCACCUCCAUGACCGUGUCCAUGGCAAGGGAGGCGUCAAUCAGAGGCAUGUCCAAGGACAGGAAGCCAGGGUCAACGCUAAAGACUGUCAUGGCGGUGAUGUCAAACAUUAACCUCGCCAUUACUUCUUGCAUGUCGAACGAAGUGCUAGUGCUCGCCAUGCGGGCAAGCAACGGGAGGAGGUGGUUCUUCACCUUGUCAUGGCAAUGAGCUGCCACACGGUCAGCAAACCGUGGGCUUCUGAUCACGCCCACGAACUUCAUGCGGCGCAAGCGCCACAGCUCGCCAUCGAUGGUGAAGAAGCCACCAGCCAUGACGUCGAAUAUGGCGGCGAAUUCGGCGCCCUUGGGGAAGUUGGAGUAGUUGGUCGUGAAGAUGUGCUGGAUGUUGGCAGGGUCGCAGGUGAUGAAGAACCGCAUCCCGGCCCCAGGCGGGCCGUCCCCAUUGAAGUUGAGGCCUGAUCCGGCGAGGAGCGCAUAGCUGUACUCAUGGAAGUUGUAGAUGUUGGCCACGAGACCAGGGAGCAUGCCUAGUAUUGGCCAUUUUGUGGGGGGCACUGCUGCUGCUGGGUCAUUUGAUCUACUAUGAGUACAAGACCACAUGUACAAGUAAAGACCUAGGGGAACAAGUAGCACAAGUGCUGUGGAGAUGAGUGACAUUAUUAUCGCUAGUGCGGUGUGGGGAGGACUACUUACUUGGAUGUAAGGUGCAAAUGCAAUGGACAUGGCGAUGGCUUCAUUUAUAUAUAGACAAGUUGUUCCCUCUGAGUCCAUUGGUACAAUACUAGCAGUGGCCACUGCACAAUUUUUUUUUUUGCGGGUCACUACACAUACGUUUUGGUGCACGAUAUAGCAUGCGUUCUGUGCACGAAUAUCAUGCGUUCUGUAUCGUCAUGAAAUAGUAUAAAACUUAUAAGUAUAUACCUCAAUUAAUCGAUGCGAUAUGAACAAGGUAUUUAAAAAUCGUCAUGCGUAUGGUACCUCCAUUAUUUUCGGGCUGCUGCUGCACUGGAGUAGUGGACAACAAUGUAUGAACGUUGCUGCUGGAACAGACGACAGACCACAGCAUGCUCAUCGUGUUCAGGAGACUCGUGCACUGGGCGGGCAUCCAGCUCAACUCUGAAGCGGAAAAACCAUGGCCAUCCCUUGCCUGUGAUUGAGGGCCGACCUGACAUAUAUGUAUGAAACCUGAUACCAUUAUUUGUAUUUCAACAGACAAUAGCAGAUUGAAUGAAUGAAAAAAGCCGAUGGUUCCACUAAAAUGCAGACAAAAAACAAAGCUAGCAUCGUUUCCUUUGCAAAAAACUCAAAACUAAAAAUAGAUGUUGGUCCGAUCGACUAACCAGAUGCAGAAUCCCAACUUCAACCCCAGGCUCUGGCAGAGGAAGCAAAGUAAUGAUUUGAAUCAAGUAGGUAGCUACGUCCAUCCUGCUAGAUCGAGGAGCAGAUCCAGCCAUCUGUAAACUGAAAAUAUACAAGCAAAAUUUGUGUUCAGGCUAUCUUUUAAGCCCAACAGAUGCAGAAAAUGCAUGUACAUGCAUACCUGAGCACUUACCAUAGGCCAGGAUAUACGCUAGCCUGCAAGUCACCACCAAUUAUGCAUCUAUUACAGUUUACAGAAGAAGAAAAAAAAUAUCAUGGUCAGUAGGUGACUGUCAACAGUUCUGCGCAAAAGCUCAGCACAACUAUCUGAUGCAGAGAAUCCCCAAACAUGGCAUCACUGAACACUCUGUUUUCAGUUAGAGCGACAUUGCAAUAGUAGUUACAGACAUUCUUAUAUUUGGGCAGUAAUAUAUCAACAGGGCAAUCAAAUGCCCCACACCAUCCUUACACACAUUGUAACAAGAAAUGUAUCCCCACAAAAAAGGAACAAAAGAGAAAAGUACAGACAUUGCGUGGCUCUCACGUCUCAAGCUUAUUCAGACUUACAGACACUAGGAAACAUACAUACAUCACAGUGAAACAUAAUGGCAAAUCUUCCACAGAUAAAGCAAAUAAGCACCGAUUAAGAUGGAAAUACAGGGGAGAAAUCGACUCCAUAUGUAAGCAUCGUUUGUCAAACAAUGUCUUCUCCCGUGGUGGUGCUGACCUGGGAAGUCAAUGGAGCAGAGCAGGCAUUUCCUUGUCCGCUUCGAAGCUCCGUCCUCAGCAGUCUCUCUGGCAAGGUCUCCAUCCCCAUGUUGGACAGAAGGAGCCAGACAUAGGUCAGUAACUCCCCACAGGUCUUAACUUGAUUUGCAUCGAAUGACCUAGUUGCAUCGAAUAUGGCUCAUGUACCUAGGCAGCAACGCUCUAGCUGUAUUUACAGAAGCACGUCUUAACUUGAUUUGCAUCGAAUGACCUAGUUUUCUAUGUUUUUCACAUGUGCAUACCGAUUGAAAGUAGGCGCGCUGGGUAGGGCUUGGUAAGAUUUUACAUGCUUUGGACAAAAACACAGCUGGACUGUUGCUUAAACUCUUACGUGAAUCCCAUUCCCACAAUAUGUUGAAGGCAGGCAAGGGUGGAUGCAGCUCUUACUAGUUACCAAUACCACCCUACCUCUUCUCUUCUUCUUCUUCUCGGAUCACAACCCCAUACCCAAAAACACAACUUGGUCAACUUUAAUUCAACAGAAAAUGCCAAGGAAAAGGAUCACAAUCCAAUCUACUCCAGCCAUCCCUACCAUGGGAAUGCACCGUCAUCCAGCGUCCACUACGCCUACGAGUCGGGAUCAGCAUGGCAAUGCUGAGGCGCUAAUUAAACCCGGCAUGGUUCGCUCACACAUACAUACGGCGAGCUCACACACACACGCACACUAACUUGAUUUUGUGUGUAAAAAGUAACACUAAAACAAAGGGCAGGUUUGGGUUAACAAUGUUUGCAUUGAGGGAGCACGGACAGAGUACCCGCAAAACACAGCGGAGCAGCGCAAGCGUGAGGGGGCGUCCGCGCUCGGUCAGUCAAUGGUCACUGGGUUGCUACUCCAGCUAGAAACGGAUGGGAAUAAACACAAGCACCUGGCGUGCAAGCAGGCGGGCAGAAGCUAACCUGGUGGCACUUCCAAUGGACGAAGGAGAGGUCGCCGGCCAUGCCGCGGGCGCAGUUUACUCGGCCAUACGUCGAUGAGGCCAGCUGCACGGUACCACAAGCCGCCGCCGCCGCCUUGAGUUUCGCGCCAUCCGGCUGGCGCGCCGGGGCAUCCGGUUCUGAUGCUCGGGUGUUUGACUCAUCGGGGGGAAGAGAGAGGGUUGUUGGGCUGAUUGACUCAUCAGUUCAAAGGGUUGUUGGGCUGCUGCUCGGAUGGGCCUGCAGGCCGCCUUUGACGGCCCACUGAGCUGCUCGUCAAAGGUAUGACUAUCAACCCCUAAAAAAAAGGUAUGACUAUCACUCAAUUUCUCAAAAAAAGAAGAAAAAACUAUCGCACGAAAUGACAAAAUGCCUCAAAAUGCUAAAAUAGGAGUAAGAAGCAUGCAGACAUUGCAUGCCUUUUUAUUCAGGCGAAGAACAAAAACACUAGAGAACCACAUGGACAAACACCACAUGCAAACAUGACAGAUCUUCCAAAGAUAACCAAAAGCAAACAACAGAAAACACCGGGAAGACAAUGUCAAACAUGACAGAUCCACCAUUGAAGCACCAUCACCAUUGCUACUGGCAGGACCAUCACUACUGUUGCGAGCACCCCCGCUCCCACCGUUGCGUUGCAAGUACGGCCAGAGCCGUCGUUGCAAAGCCAUGGCGAUGCUGCAAGGGGGUACCACCGCGAGAGGUCGCUAAUGUGCUGCCAACUGCGUGGCGCAACGACGAGUGGCGAGGAUGUUGCCAGUGGCGGGCUCAUGGCGGCAGAGUCGCUGUUGUGAAGCGUGAGGUGAUGCUGCGACCUGCUGUGGUGCAGGCUGGGGAGCCAACUCGCCGAGUCGGGGGUGCGUGCUGAAUAAUUGUCAAGCACGAGACGAGUGCAACAACGAUCCCACCAAUGUUGCAGGAAGGUUCGCCAGCGCUACAAGGACUGGCCGAUGCGAGGGAGCCCAACUGCCGGUGCUCAGUGUUGCAUGUCGAUGAUGUUGCAACCGCUACUACUGCGAGCGGUGCGUGGUCGUCGACAUCCAUUGCAAGUGGCCGCUACAAGACAUGUCGUGGGGAUGACGAAAAAGUGUUGCUAGCCGACACUGUUGUGAAUCGUGAACCAUCGCGGGGGGACUCACAGAUCUGCCGAGGGAUGCUUUUCAACAUGGAUCAUGUUGCAAUGAGGUUUGCAACAUGGGUCGUGUUGCAAUGGGACUUCCGAUACAGGUUGUGUUGCAACGAGAGAUGGACAGAGGUAGGGACGAUCGCACGGUGGGCAUCAUAGGCAUCGAAUGGCUCGUGACCCAGCCGAUCUUUUCCAAAGAUCAGCCGACCGACGCAUACCGCGAGCCCUUAAAGAAAAUUGCUCGUGAUAAAGGUGUGCCAUGUUGAACAUCUGUAUUAGUCCCAUGGACUGCAUCAAUCACCGCUAAAUCUGGCCUUUGUCGUUCUAGGGACUGGUGUUAGCUGACACAAGUCACAUUUUGCAAAAGGCUGACACAAGUCACAUUUUGCAUUUUUUCAUUUUAGAUAAAAGGCUGACAUAAGUCACUUUUUUUUGAAAAACCCCAUCAUGUAUUAAUUAACUUAAAAUGUUUGUACAAUCAUUCAUAACAAACUUUGCCACGCAGGGCGGAACGGAAUGAAAAAGAAAACCAUCAGAUUUAUUAUCAAAACUAAACUUUGCAAUCUCAUGAGCCACCAUAUUAGCCCUCCCGUUGAUCUUAGAAAUCCGUAAAUUCACCAACAACUUUGAGACAUCUAAAGCUUCCUUCUUUAGAUCAACAAGGGAUGAUCUGUCCACAUAAUCUCUUUUAAAAACGGAGGCCACGAAGGAACAAUCAGUUUCUAAAAUGACGGGCAUGUCUAGAGUCAUACCAAUAUAUAGGCCGCACAGGGACGCUCUAAGUUCUGCUUCCUCGAUGCUAUAGCAAGCACCAGUAUAAUCCCAGGAGGAAAGGAUCACUUGUCCACAGUGAUUUCUAACAAUCACUGUUAGACUUGUGUCGAAUAUUAUUGUACAAGGUAUGUUACAGUUGGACUCUGAGUAGUAUUAUGUUUAGAUAGGAUAUGGAGUCGUGUCCUAGUAGGACACUUGUAUCCUAGGCCUCUCAUAUAUAGCAGGGGUAGACACACGAUGUAACCUAUGCCAACAUAAUAGCACAGGUACGCGGGGGAGCCGGCGGCGUGUGCUGGCGCCCGGGCGGCCGGGGUGCGGUAUUGUGACGGUGUCAUGGGGAGGAGCGCCCAUAGUCAUGCCCCGGGGAUGUAGCCAUAACGGUGAACCUCAUUAACAAAUAUUGGUGUCGUGCCUCGUGUGAUUGCUUGAUCCUCGGUAGAUCAACGGAGCGCCUCGGGUUAAUUCUAACAACCACCCCCACGCUCGCAGCUUCAAUGGCCUCCACAAAACUUGCAUCGACAUUAAUCUUGUAGAAGUCUGGGGUGGGUGGCCUCCAAGGAGUAACCUUCCUCUCAACGUUAUUGGUUGGCUGAAGUUCCAGCUCCACUUGCUUCCCUUUACUGCAUAUCUCCACCUGCAUUUUAGCAUGACAAGACGAGAAAGAUGCCCAAUAAUUUUUGACAAAACUCACCAAAGCUGAGAUGGAUUCCAUUCCCCUACCAAAGAUCAAAUCAUUCCUCAAGUGCCAAGCUCUCCAGAACAUGGAUAUAGUUUGCUCGCGUACAAGAGAAGUUAACUGGUCCAAUAAAAUAAGGAACCAGUCCGGUCCAGAAUAUUUGAAGGUCUUCUCCACCGAUAAUUUCCACACUUCCUUCAAUGCCAUACGGAACGCACGUGCCUUGUGACAAACCACCAACGCGUGAAAAAUACAUUCAUCGUCAAUACCACAUAUUGAGCAUGUACCUAGAGUAGCUUGAUGAUGUUUAACCCUAUUGAGUUGAACCGCCAAACUAUUAGAAGCAGCCCUCCAGGCAAAAAUUCUAAGUUUCUGGGGGACAUUAGCAUUCCGAAUAAUAUUCCAGAGCCUCCUAUCCCCAUUUAUGGCAUCACUGGAAUUGCCAGAAUUAAUCCUCGGUUCCUUAAGAUUCAAAGCCAGUCUAUACGCACUCUUCACCGAGAACAAGCCACUUUUCUCGUGGUGCCAAGCAAUAAUAUCUCCCCCGCCCACUCGAAGAAUACACAGCUUUAGGAUCUACUCUGCAUCAUGAAUAUAAAACAGAUGCCUUAUCACGUUCUCAUCCCAAAUCCUAGAUCCACUCAAAAAUAACUCGGACACCCAUUUGAUCCUAGUUCUGUUCUUUUUUCGGCAAAUUUGUAGACAGAUUCCCUAGGGAUCCAAUUAUCCCUCCAAAUAUUUAUACUAGUAUCAUCGACCACUCUCCAAAUAAUGCCUUCUUUUAGCAAUUCGAGGCCAUGCAUAAUUCCUUGCCAAGUAAGGGAUGUAGCUUGAGGGGAUACUGAUGCGGAGCAUCCUACGAUCAUCCCCAUGUACACUUCGACUACUCCCCAAGCCCCAAGAGGACAUACGAUGAGACCUCGACCAUACGCCAUUGGGCACAAGGUGAACUCACUCCUCUUCGAACCGUCACUUUCCACAUGUGAGACAUGGCUACUACAUCAUGCAUGGACCUUGCAUAUACUCAGGUACAACCGAGGCGACCAUGGAGGAUCCAAGGACCAAGGCCAAGCAUGGAAGAGGAGAAGGAAGAAGAAGCAGGGACAAGCUUCUGGAAAGCCCAGAACUUCCGUCCUCUGCCCGAAACUUCCGACCCUCGGACCUUCUGGCCUGCCCAGAACCUCCGAUCCCCGGAGUCCAGACCAGCCCCGAGCGCGCCAACUCUCUGGAUAGCCCGGAACCUGGCCGGAACUUCCGGCCCCGCCCAGAACUUUCGGCCUGCCUGCGUGCAAAGACUCGAGCCAAAGCCCAUGUAACCCUUUCCCACUUACCCCUUCGUGGCUUAGACUAUAAGUAGACCACCCCUCCUCCUAGUUAGGGUUAGCAAAGGAUUAGCUCAUUUGAGAUAGAGCUUUGCUUAUCCAUACGGAUCUCCUCCUCGUGAGAGAUCGCGGCCUCUUCGGAGAAGAUCCACCUGGAUUCAAGACCCCUUUACGGAAUCCCUCGUGGAUUCAAGACCUCCUCUCAGAGAUGAACUACCGCCACUUUAUCGUCCUUUGUUGGAUUCGGACCGUGUAUUUCUUUGUGUUUCUUGGAUCUAGCAUAUGUGUGACCGGAUCUCAUUGGUUGAGUGUUUUCUCUUGUGUUUUCCUCGUGUUCCCCUCGUUUCCUCUCUCGUGUUCUUUGUGUUCUUGGUAGGGUUCCUCUCCAAACGUGAAAGAUCAGCCUCUAGGGUUCUACCCUACAUCAUCUUGGUAUCAUGAGCCACGUUGAUCAUGUUUUUGGAGCCCCUACCCUUUGUUUUCUAGCUUGAUUUUGUUGAUUUCGUCCUAAAUUCGAAAAUACCCACCAAAAAUAGCCCCCCAUUUUUUUGUGAUUUGUUGGUUUGGAUGAUGUUCUGUUGAUUUUGAUCCAUGGAUCCGCUGUGUUAUGAGUGGAUCUAGCAUUCCCCAUCUGUUCCCCCAUUUACAUCCACGAAAUCUCCCCAAUUUUGACCCUAAAAAUCGAGUUUUCCCGCCCCCGUUCUCAGAUCUGGAAUUUAGGGUUCGUCCCAGAAGAAAUUCCACGACCCCCGGAACUUCUGGACUUCCUCGAAACUUUCGUCCUUACCCCGGAACUUCCGAGCUAAACAGAGAGUUUACCCAAGAUCCCCGGCUCACCCGAGACUUUUUCCACGACCCCUAGAACUUCCGGAGCCCGGAACUUACGACCCUAACCCCGAAACUUCCGGCCUAACCAGAAACUUUCCCCGAAAUUUCAGCAUCAACCUUCUUCACCGUUUUCAUCAUAACUUUUUGCUCUGAACUCCGAUUUGAGUGUUCUUUGGCUCGUUUUGAAGCUAUCUACGUGCCCGAGGUCCUCACAUUGGUUUUACCACCUUUUGACUCCAUCAGAUUUUUGGAACUUUGGCAUCUUUGUCUAGGCCUUCCACCAUAUCAUCCGCAUUGCCACCACCGACUUUCGCAACCUACACCAUUUUGAUCCCUAUAGCAUUUGAGGUUGUUUGAGUAGUGACUCGGGUCUCCUAAGGUGUUUCGACUACUUUGGGACGGUUGCUUCUUCAUCAACCACCACCAUAACUUCCGCAUAGGCUUGCCCACCAUACACUUCCACCACCCCAACUUAACCCAAUUUUGUUUGAGCUUGUUUGAGUUGUGGCUUGUGUCUCCUAAGGUGUUUCAGCUACUUAGGGACGACAACUUCAACUCCGACAUGUGUAUAGCCCAUCAUUCCACUUCCGCAUUGCCAAGUGCACACUACCACCGCUUUCCGCUACCACCAUUUGACAUUUGCCUUUGGAGAUUUUGAGUUCACGAUUUUUCCGUUUCCUAAGGUGUUUCGGCUACUUAGGGACGAGUCUCCAUCAUCUUGGUUUCUACAUCAAGAACACCGCCACUCAUCAUCACCACGGACGGUAACCUCCAUAUCAUCUUGGUAUCUUGGUAUCCCUCCAUUGUAUAUUCCCUUGCCAUUGAAUUGAUAACCCCUAGCCUAUUUUGCGUCACUUGCCUAUCGAGACUAGCCAUUUGAGUAUUGCUGGCAACGUUACUUGUGCACAUUAGUGGUGUACACCAUCCAUUGCAUACAUACCAUAUCACAUUGGUAUCAUCUUGCCAUCAUAGUAUAUCUUGUGUCACAAGUUUGUUCCCGCAUAUAUACAAUUGCUAUCUUGGUUUGUGCAUUGUGCAAAAGUGGCCAUAAAAAAGGAAAGAAUAAGCUUUUAAGCAAAGGAAAAGAGAGAGCAAAGAAUCUUGUAAGCAAUAGCCAUAGCAUCAUACCACAUUGCAUAAGAUUGUCAUAUCCGAUCAUCUUGGAUCAAACACCGGGAACCAUACAUAUAUAGCAUACUUGGGAUAGAAAGUUUAUCCAUUUUGCAUCUUAUAGGUUGUGCACAAGUGUCAUAUCCGCCUAUAGAGCAAUUGUGCUAGCGUCUCUCUUGAGUUGUGCAACACGAGCGUUUUCCGUGGAUUCCACAUUUUGUGCUCAUUCCUUGGUUGCACGACCCCAUUUAUCUAUCCGUGUGUGCGUUUUCGUGUGCCACAUAUUGCUAUUGGUCUACUUGUUUCACUUGCGAAUUUGUGAAUCUUUUUCAACAUUAUUGACUCUUGCUAACAUUUUGCAUCAAAUUUUUGUGCCACUAUCCUCACCGAGCUCCACCAUAAGCCUUAUUUGUGUAUGUGUGAGAAAUUGACGAGAAUCGGUACCAAUUGUGCUAUUUCCUUGUUACAUCAUUGAGUGAUCAUUGAUCCAUUUUCAACAUUGGUCAAGGUACAUUUGGUAUAGUUCUCUCCUUUCUUCCACUCAUAUUUUCUCGAGUCUUGUGAUGGAUAGGCAAGGCAUUUCAUCUCCGGUCUUCCGCAACAACGAUGACAUGAACAACUACAUCACCAAAGCGUCAAUCUUCGAUCUACAACGACAAAUGCAAGGCGCACAAUCAAGAUUGCGAGAGCGCAUCGACAACUUCGCCAUCGACAUACAACACUCCGAAGCAAGGAAAAGGGACUACAUCGACAACAAGCUUUCCGCACAAAAGGAGGAGCAAGAUGCAAGGAUGGAGGAGAUUCGAGCCUUGACCAAGUCUACUUCCCGUUCAUCAUCCUCAAGGCGGCGACGUUUAAGUCACAAGUCUUCGGAGCGCAAACAUGAUACAAGCACAAGCCAUCCACGUCCACAUCUCCAUGGAGACCACCAUCACGUUCGUGAUCCACAUCGUCAUGAAGGGCAAGUCACCUCCAAGCAUCAUGUGCACGACGACGAACGAUAUCUACUACGAGCUCAAGUACAACAACGACAUCAUCAUCAUGAAGAUGCUCCAUAAGCGCAAAUGUACAAGUCCCAAGAAGCCCUACUUCACGCCAAGGCCAAGCUUCAAGAGCACAAAAGAAGACCGCGAUACGACCACCACCAAGACGGCGCUACGGCUACAACAACCACUUUGGCAUCUUCGCCAAGUGCUAUCAAGGCAUCUUUGCCUUUCGACGUACGGCAUCUUCACCUACUUUCCAUGUGUACGCCUACAUCAACUUCAUCAAGUCCAAGGCGACUACCUAUGAGCGAGGGCAACACUUCCAUCUUCGGAAGCCCCUCAAAGAAGAUGGCCGAGCAUGGGAAAUUCCCUUCGGUCAUGGAGGCGAGCUACGAGGUGCCACAUCAUAUGGGCCUCCUACAACAAGACGACGACAAGACGGUCGAGCAAGGGCCAUCCCCUUCGACCACGACGACGAGCACGAACCUCUUCAACAACAUGAAGACGGCGCCCACAUUGGACUCAUACUCCAAGUCAAGCUACACGACCGCACAUGGAGACAUUUGCACCUACAUCUCUCCGACAACCACAUAUGUCAAGAUGCCCCAAGUGCCAUGUGAGGAGAGCCACCACCACAUGAGUGACAUGAGUGACUCCACUAUUGUAACACCCCAGUUGUAACAUGUCCCAAUUUGGCAAUAUAUCAACUUGACCUUCAUCCAUUUCUUGUGGGUUUUAUCAUGUUUGGCCUCAUCUUGUUUGGUUAUGUGGUUUACUCUUUUCAUUGUCAUGCUCACCUUACCAUAUUGCAUUUGUGCCUCUUAUCAUUUUGCAUUCCAUCCUCAUCAUGUGCAUGUUGUGAUCUCAUACAUGUUAUGUUGUUGCAUGUUCAAUGCAUAAAUCUUGCAUCAUCACCAAUUCUCCUUCCUUUCCUUUCUUUCUUUUUGCAAGUGCACCUUUUGCCUUCUCCUUAAAUGUUCAUAUUCUCCCUAUAAAUCUUGCUCCAUGUCAUUUACCUCUCUGCCAAAUAUCACCUUAUUUGAAGUUGUUUUGGUCAGGUUCAAAAAUGACCCAAGUUUGAAUUUUAUUCAAACUUGUUUUAUUUUUAUACCUCUAAAAAAGCCCAAUGAAAUUUAUUCAAACAGUGGAUAAUCCCAGGAGCUUGGGAAUAUUUUCAUAAUUUCCAAAUGCCUCUCCUAGUCCACUGGCCUUUUUCCUUUCUUCAGCUGGUUAUUUAAAUAAUCAGAAACUGGAAGGAAAUGAGAAGGGGGACUUUCCUCUCCUUACCUGGGCCUUCCCCUCACCUGCAGCCCAACAGAGCAGCACAGCCAGGCGCAGCCCAGCAGCCCAUCCAGCCCACACGUACAGAGGCGUCGUCAACCUCCUGUACGGCGCGCAUCCAGCAUGUCCACGUCGACAACCUCGUUGAUUUGACGGCCCGAGAAGCUCCAUAGACCCCUAUAAAGUUGUCCCCGGUGCCCUAGGAUCUCCCCUCAACCGAUCCCCCUCCUCUCCUUCCCUCGCCGCCGCCAGGUAAGCCGAGCCGCGCCUCGCCGUCGCCCUGCCCACCAUGAACCGACCGAGCUUCGGCUCGAGCUCGGGAUAGCCGUCGCCGGCGUGCACUCCGGCCACCUCCGCCUCGCCAACGUCGUACGUCUUCCUCCACGACGUCGACUACGUACCCGCCGUCCUCUUCCUCGCCUGGGAUCGCCAAGUUCGGCUACCUCCCCGUCGUCCUCGUCCUCCCCUGCUUCGCGGACAGCAGCCCCGCCAGGUUCAGAGCUCGUCCGCGUCGCUGCAGGCUCGACUCCGUCGCCGUAUUCUUGUCCUUGGGUAAGGAGGUAUACCCAACUUCCUCCCUGCUCCUUCCUGUCGUCAAUAGAUCACCGUAGGCGCUGCUUCGAUUCAAUCUUUCCCGUACUCUCGGUGCUCCGACGAUCUCUGUAGUUUUUAGUUGCGCAUGUUUUGCUGCUGCACGUGCACACGCUCUCUCCCCUGUUCCCACGUGCUCGCGCUCGCUCGCUCGCCGCGCCCGUAGCCCCGCUUGCAUCUGCACCCGCGCGCGCACCCUGCCUGCUCGCGUCGCUCGCUCGCUCGACGUUCUGUACUGCGCCCGAGGCAAGCACGAGCUCGUGCUCAGGCACCGCAAGCACGCGCCUUCCACAGCCGCUCCGCAUGCACGCCUGGCCCCGCCUUCGAAUUCCGCACCCCCCGCCGGUGACCCUCUGCUCGGGUGGUCGCCGUCGUGUUCGCUGGCAGAAGUGCCGUUCUCGCACCAGCAGCCCCCGCCUAUCGUUAGGACAAGUAGCCUAGCGACCGCUUCUUGUAACAACAGAAGUAGCAGCGUAGCGGUUGUGGUCUUGCUGUUCCACCCAGGAGUGCAGGGUUCGAAUCCCAGCCUCCACAUUUUUAUCUUCGGCCUUUUAAUUUCUGUGCCCCAACAGGUUCCUUUGCUUGUGUUCUUGCUUUGGGUAGAGCCGGGAGACGAGAACGCUUACGAGGAACCUGUUGAGUACGCUUACGAGGAUCCAGCCUUCGACAACUCUGAGAACCUUGCAGGCAAGAUGACCUUACCUUCGAUAUCACUUCUAUCUCUGCUUGCUAGUACUCGCUCUAUCGCUAUGUUAGCUCUACCUGCCAUUGUUUACCAUGCCUACCUAUUGCCAUGAUAAACCUCUAAUCAUCCUGUCCUAGCAACCGUUGAUUGGCUAUGUCACCGAUUUUGCUCAGCCCCUCUUAUAGCAUUGUUAGUUGCAGGUGAAGGUGAAGUUUGUUCCUGGUCGGAACAUUGUUACUUUGGGAUAUCACAAUAUCUCCUGUUUAAAUUAAUGCACCUUAUAUAUUUGGUAAAGGGUGGAAGGCUCGGCCUUAUGCCUAGUGACUUGUUCCACUCUUGCCACCCUAGUUCCGUAUACCGGUGUUAUGUUCCUUGAUUUUGCGUUCCUUAUACGGUUGGGUGAUUUAUGGGACCCCCUUAAUAGUUCGCUUUGAAUAAAACUCCUCCAGCAAGGCCCAACUUUGGUUUUACCAUUUGCCACCUAAGCCCUUUCCCUUGGGUUUUCGCGAGCCCAAGGGUCAUCUUUAUUACCCCCCGGGCCAGUGCUCCUCUGAGUGUUGGUCCAAACUAGAGCCCUUUGCAGCGCCACCUCGGGGAAACUUGAGGGCUGGUUUUAGUUGUACGAACUGCUAAUCCGUUUGUGCCCUGAGAACGAGAUAUGUGCAGCUCCUAUCGGGAUUUGUCGGCAUAGUCGGGUGGUCUUGCUGGACUUGUUUUACCAUUGUCGAAAUGUUUUGCGAACCGAGAUUCCGAGACUGAUCGGGUCUUCCCGGGAGAAGGUGUAUUCCUUCGUUGACUAUGAGAGCUUGUGAUGGGCUAAGUUGGGACACCCCUGCAGGGUAUAUAUUCUUUCGAAAGCCGUGCCCGCGGCUAUGAGGCAGAUGGGAAUUUGUUAAUGUCCGGUUGUAGAUAACUUGACACUUCACCUCUUUAAAAUGCAUCAACCGAGUGUGUAGCCAUGAUGGUCUCUUCUCGGCGGAGUCCGGGAAGUGAACACGGUUUGUGUUAUGCUUGACGUAAGUAGUUUCAGGAUCACUUCUUGAUCACUUCUAGCUUCUCGACCGAUGCGUUGCUUCUCUUCUCGCUCUCACUUGCGUAUGUUAGCCACCAUAUUUGCUUAGUGCUUGCUGCAGCUCCACCAUAUUACACCUUUCCUACCUAUGAGCUUAAAUAGUCUUGAUCUCGCGGGUGUGAGAUUGCUGAGUCCCCGUGGCUCACAGAUUCUACCAAAACAGAUGCAGGUGCCGAGGAUACUGGCGCAGAUGGCGCAACUGAGCUGAAGUGGGAAUUUGAUGAGGCCCUUGGUCGUUACUAUGUAUCGUUUCCAGAUGAUCAGUAGAGGAGCCCAGUCGGGGCGAUCGGGGAUCUAGCAUUUGGGGUUGUCUUCUUUUCAUUUGAACUUGACCGUAGCCGGUCUAUGAGUGUACUUUGAAUGAUGUAUGAUCUUAAUUUAUGUAUUGUGUGAAGUGGCGAUUGUAAGCCAACUCUCUUUAUCCCAUUCUUGUUCAUUACAUGAGAUUGUGUGAAGAUGACCCUUCUUGCGACAAAACCACCAUGCGGUUAUGCCUCUAAGUCGUGCUUCGACACGUGGGAGAUAUAGCCGCAUCGUGGGUGUGACAAGUUGGUAAUCAGAGCCAUCCCCGACUUAGGAGGCCCCUGCUUGAUUGUUUGCUGGCGAUGUUGAGUCUAGAACAAAAAUGUUUUGAGUCUUAGGAUUAUAUAUAUCGGAGAGUAGGAUUCUUUUUACUCCUCAGUCCCUUCGUCGCUCUGGUGAGGUCUCCUGACGUAGAUGUUUUGACUUUCCUCUUCUCAAAUUUUCACUAAAUUUUUUUUUAGGAUCACGCGGGUAUCUUGGAAUCGUUCCGAUGGUUUUGUGACGAGAACAUUGUUCUUGGUGCCUCCUGACAUUUAGGGGUUGUGGCAGUGUCCCGGGGAGUUGAGCUCCGAGGUGUUGUCGUCACAAUCUUAUCGUUGCAGUUCUGGAAUACCUGAGUUUUGCCGGCAUCGAAAAUCUCUUUUAUGCAGUUGUUGGUGAGAUAACCCCAAUAACCCAGUACUGGGGCGAGCUCGGGAGUAUUGCCAUAACUCGUAUAAUGGAUGCUUUUCGAAGGUUGAGGUACACGAUUUCCGAAGGUUUCUUGGUUAUGUGUUGACGGAUGGAUACAGCUGGAUGUAGGGAUUGUUAGUUUGGGUGAGAUAUAUUGCUUCCCCUGUAUCCCCAACACCUGAUUGCAUAACCAGAAAGUUUCGGGAGUUUAUAGGUGGGAUUCAAGUAGCUCUAGCAUUUCUUCCCACAGAUAUUUGGUUUGUGAUUGGGUAAUCCUUACCACUUAUUUGUUCCAGUUGUACCUUGUUUAUUUCAUUCAUCAAUCUCUAUUCAAGUGGCUUCUCACCUUAAUGGACGUGUGAUGUUUGCUUUGGAAUUCAUUCCUUCAUCUUUGUUCGAAUGUUUAUUGUGAAGACUAUAUAUUGCAAUUUCUAUCCGUUGAUUCAACUUGUCUAUCUGUCUAUCAAGAUGCUAACGGAUGUCAACCUCUUCAGGAUGGCUCUGCCAACGCGUCUGAAUCUGUAUCGCAAUGAUGGGAGUCAGGCGAACCCUCCACCUCCACCUCCGCCUCCGGAGGCAUGGCAAGCUUUGAUGGCAGCCUCUAACGCCCAUGAUCAGAUGAUGAUUCAGCUCAUGCAAGAGCGCAACCAAGGCCAAGGCAACCAAGGGAAUCAAGGUCAAGGGCAGUUCAAUCAUCAGCCUCUAUUUCCUACCCUCAACCAGUUCCUGGCAAAUCAGCCGAAGUCUUUCAGCUACUGUGUCGAGGCCACAGACGCCGAUGAUUGGCUCGUGGAUAUCAACAAGCAUUUUGAAUGCAGCAAUGUCAGGCCUGAGGACUAUGUCAAGUUCGCUUCUUUUCAGCUCAAGGAUCAAGCAGCUGAUUGGUUCCAGCAAUACAAGGAUUCCAGAGGUGGUCGAGUGAUUACUUGGACUGAUUUCUGUCGGGACUUUAAAGCUCACCAUAUUCCUACCAGUGUUGUUGAGAGCAAGCGAGAGGAGUUCCGCAAUCUCAAGCAAGGCAACAUGUCAGUGUAUGAAUACAACAAGCAGUUUCAGAAACUUGCUCGCUUCGCUAAGCAGGAUGUUCCUGAUGAGAAAAGUAUGAUCUAUCAGUUCAGAGGUGGCCUUAGAGAGGAUCUGCAGUUAGCUCUCGUUCUUGUUGAGCCUACUCAGUUUGAUCAAUUCUACAAUAUGGCACUCAAGCAAGAAGGUGCUCAGCUCAAGUGUGAGGCUUCUAAGAAGAGAAUCAGAGAUGCAGUGCAAUCUUCUUCUUCCUCACAAGUGGCAGCUAAGCAGCAAAAGUUUUAUCUUCCUCCUCCUCCGUUUCGUCAGCCUUACCAACAGAAGAACUCAGGUGCUCGUGGAUCUUCCCACCCACCCAACCCAAGCUAUCAGAACAAGUCUCAGCCUCAAGCUUCAAAGUCAAAUGCUCCUUAUCAUCGUCCGCUCUCAGAAGUGACUUGCAACAAGUGCCAGCAGAAAGGUCACUACGCGAACAAAUGCUUAAAUCAAAGGCGCCUUCCUCCUCCUCCUCCUGUGAGAUCUUCAAGCAAUGCAAUGGUCAAGCAUAAUCCAAAGUCUGCAAAGGUGAACAUGAUGAAUGCAACUCAGGCAAAGGAUUCUUCAGAUGUGAUAAUGGGUAAUCUUCCUGUUAAUGAUAUUCCUGCAAAAGUCUUAUUUGAUACUGGUGCAUCACAUUGUUUCAUGUCAAGACCGUUUUUUGCCAAGCAUGAAUUCUCUUCGUCACAUUUGGGUAAACCCAUGGAUGUCGUUUCCCCGGGUAAACGGUUGAGCUCCAGUUUGGUGGUUCCGGAUACCACAAUCAAGAUGGGCGACUAUAAAUUUCUGUCUUCUCCAGUGGUUCUUGGUGACUCUGAUAUUGAUCUAAUUCUUGGGAUGGACUGGCUUUCUAAGCACAAGGCUCAUCUUGAUUGUGCUGCCAGACAAAUUCAAUUGACACACCCUUCAGAGGAUGUUAUCAUCUAUGCCGCUUGUGAUGAAACCAUUCGGUUGUUUUCUCUCAGUGAGAAGGGCGAGCUGGAUGCUAUUUCUCAAAUUCCAGUCAUUUGUGAGUACCAAGAUGUCUUUCCAGAAGAGCUUCCGGGCAUGCCUCCUCAUCGGCCAGUCGAGUUCGUUAUUGAUCUUGAGCCUGGAACAGAACCCGUUUGCAAGCGUCCUUACAAGCUUGGACCCAAGGAGCUGAAGGAAUUGAAGAAGCAGCUCGAUGAACAAGAGCGUCUGGGUUUGAUCAGACCGAGUUCUUCCCCAUGGGGUUGUGGAGUUCUUUUUGUCCAGAAGAAGGAUGGCACGGACCGACUUUGUGUCGAUUACCGUCCAUUGAACAAGAAGACAAUCAAGAACAAGUAUCCACUUCCCAACAUCAAUGAGCUUUUCGAGCAACUCAAAGGGGCUAAAGUCUUCUCCAAGCUUGACCUUCGUAUGGGGUAUCAUCAGAUUCGCAUUCGUGAACAAGAUAUUCCCAAGACAACAUUCAGAACAAGCUAUGGUUCUUAUGAAUAUACUGUCAUGUCUUUCGGCCUUGUCAAUGCUCCUCCAACGUUCUCUCGCAUGAUGAACUUUAUCUUCAACCCCUACACCAAUGAAUUUGUUCUGGUGUAUCUCGAUGAUAUUUUGGUCUUCUCCAAGAAUAAGCAGGAUCAUGCUAAACAUUUGCGAUUGGUGCUCGACAAGCUCAGAGAGCAUCAAUUCUAUGCGAAGUUUUCCAAAUGUGAGUUCUGGCUUGAUGAAGUUCUUUAUCUUGGUCAUAUCAUCUCCGCCAAGGGAAUUGCUGUUAAUCCAGCGAAGGUUCCUGCAGUUGUGAAUUGGGAACCUCCUCAGAAUGUCAAGCAGCUCCGCAGUUUUCUUGGUCUUGCAAGCUAUUGCCGAAGAUUCGUUGAGAACUUCUCUAAGAUUGCAAAGCCUCUUUCCAACCUCCUCCAGAAGCAUGUCAAGUAUGUCUGGACGCCUGAGUGUGACGUCGCUUUCAACACCCUCAAAGAGAAGCUAGUCACAGCUCCUGUUUUGACUCCUCCUGAUGAAUCCAAGCCAUUCAAAGUAUUCUGUGAUGCUUCCCUUCAAGGUCACAGUGCUGUGUUGAUGCAAGAGAAAAAAGUUGUGGCCUAUACCUCUCGUAAGUUGAAGCCCAACGAAAAGAACUACCCCACUCACGAUCUUGAGUUGGCGGCAGUUGUCCAUGCAUUGAUCACAUGGAGACAUCUCUUAUUGGGAAGGCAAGUGGACAUUUUCACCGAUCACAAGAGCCUCAAGUAUAUAUUCACUCAACCAAACCUAAACCUCAGGCAAACUCGAUGGGUCGAAAUGAUUCAAGAGUACAAUCCAAGUAUUGAAUAUACUCCUGGCAAGGCGAAUGUGAUUGCAGAUGCUCUGAGCAGAAAGGCUUAUUGCAACAGUCUAAUUCUCAAGCCGUUUCAACCGGAUCUUUGUGAAGCCUUCCGCAAGCUGAAUCUUUAAGUUGUUCCUCAAGGCUUUCUUGCCAACCUCAUAGUCUCUCGUACUUUGGAAGAUCAAAUUCGUGAGGCACAACUCCUGGAUACCAUGGUGAAGAAGGUGAAACGUGGUAUUGACAAGGGCAUUCCUAAAUACAAGUGCUAUCGCUUGGAUGACAAAGAUACUCUUUUCUUCGAGGAUCGCAUUGUGGUUCCAAAAGGUGAUUUGAGAAAAGUCAUCAUGAAUGAGGCACACAAUUCCCUCCUAUCCAUUCAUCCUGGAAGUACAAAGAUGUACCAUGACCUCAAGCAGUCAUAUUGGUGGACUCGUAUGAAGCGAGAAAUUGCUCAAUUCGUGAAUGAAUGUGAUGUCUGCAGAAGAGUGAAAGCAGAACACCAAAGACCAGCUGGUCUCCUCCAACCUCUUGCUAUUCCGGAAUGGAAGUUUGACCAUAUCGAGAUGGACUUCGUGACUGGUUUUCCUAAGUCCAAGCGGGGAAAUGAUGCUAUCUUCGUUGUCAUUGACAAGCUUACCAAAGUGGCUCAUUUUCUCCCUAUCAAAGAAUCUAUCACAACAGCUCAGCUGGCAGAGCUAUACACCUCCAGAAUUGUCUCCUUGCACGGCAUUCCACAAUUGACAUCUUCAGAUCGUGGAAGCAUCUUCACUUCCAAGUUCUGGGACUCUUUUCAAACGGCCAUGGGUUCCAACAUUCGUUUCAGCACAACUUUCCAUCCUCAAACAAGUGGCCAAGUCGAGCGAGUCAAUCAAAUUCUUGAAGAUAUGCUCAGGGCUUGUGUCAUCUCUUUCGGUAUGAAGUGGGAAGAUUGUCUUCCAUAUGCCGAGUUCUCCUACAACAACAGCUUCCAAGCGAGUUCGGGCAAUGCCCCAUUCGAAAUUCUCUAUGGCAGAAAGUGCUGUACUCCUCUCAACUGGUCUGAGACAGGUGAACGCCAACUUCUUGGCAACGACUUCACAGAAGCCGAAGAAAUGUGCAAAGUCAUUCGUGAGAAUCUCAAAGCCGCGCAAUCGCGCCAAAAGAGUUACUAUGAUAGCAAGCACCGUGACUUGGCUUUUGAAAUCGAAGACCAUGUCUAUCUCCACGUCUCUCCAAUGAAAGGCACUCGUCGCUUCGGUAUCAAAGGGAAUCUUGCCCCUAGAUACGUGGGUCCUUUCAAGAUCAUUGGCAAAAGAGGCGACCUCGCCUAUCAACUUGAGCUUCCAUCCAACUUUGCAAACGUGCACGAUGUGUUUCACGUGUCACAGCUUUGCAAGUGCUUCAAGACUCCUGAGCGCACUAUCAACUUCGAAGAAAUCGACCUCCAAGAAGAUCUCUCUUAUCAUGAGCACCCCGUUGCUAUUCUUGAAGAAACCGAGCGCAAGACUCGCAACAAGUCAAUCAAAUUCCUGAAAGUGAAGUGGUCACACCAUUCCGACCGAGAAGCCACCUGGGAGCGCGAGGAUAACCUCCGUUCCGAAUAUUCGGAGUUCUUUCAGUCCUAGAUCUCGGGACGAGAUCCUCUUGUAGUGGUGGAGUGUUGUAACACCCCAGUUGUAACAUGUCCCAAUUUGGCAAUAUAUCAACUUGACCUUCAUCCAUUUCUUGUGGGUUUUAUCAUGUUUGGCCUCAUCUUGUUUGGUUAUGUGGUUUACUCUUUUCAUUGUCAUGCUCACCUUACCAUAUUGCAUUUGUGCCUCUUGUCAUUUUGCAUUCCAUCCUCAUCAUGUGCAUGUUGUGAUCUCAUACAUGUUAUGUUGUUGCAUGUUCAAUGCAUAAAUCUUGCAUCAUCACCAAUUCUCCUUCCUUUCCUUUCUUUCUUUUUGCAAGUGCACCUUUUACCUUCUCCUUAAAUGUUCAUAUUCUCCCUACAAAUCUUGCUCCAUGUCAUUUACCUCUCUGCCAAAUAUCACCUUUUUUGAAGUUUUUUGGUCAGGUUCAAAAAUGACCCAAGUUUGAAUUUUAUUCAAACUUGUUUUAUUUUUAUACCUCUAAAAAAGCCCAAUGAAAUUUAUUCAAAUAGUGGAUAAUCCCAGGAGCUUGGGAAUAUUUUCAUAAUUUCCAAAUGCCUCUCCUAGUCCACUGGCCUUUUUCUUUCUUCAGCUGGUUAUUUAAAUAAUCAGAAACUGGAAGGAAAUGAGAAGGGGGACUUUCCUCUCCUUACCUGGGCCUUCCCCUCACCUGCAGCCCAACAGAGCAGCACAGCCAGGCGCAACCCAGCAGGCCAUCCAUCCCACAUGUACAGAGGCGUCGUCAACCUCCUGUACGGCGCGCAUCCAGCAUGUCCACGUUGACAACCUCGUUGAUUUGACGGCCCGAGAAGCUCCAUAGACCCCUAUAAAGUUGUCCCUGGUGCCCUAGGGUCUCCCCUCAACCGAUCCCCCUCCUCUCCUUCCCUCGCCGCCGCCAGGUAAGCCGAGCCGCGCCUCGCCGUCGCCCUGCCCACCAUGAACCGACCGAGCUUCGGCUCGAGCUCGGGAUAGCCGUCGCCGGCGUGCACUCCGGCCACCUCCGCCUCGCCAACGUCGUACGUAUUCCUCCACGACGUCGACUACGUCCCCGCCGUCCUCUUCCUCGCCUGGGAUCGCCAAGUUCGGCUACCUCCCCGUCGUCCUCGUCCUCCCCUGCUUCGCGGACAGCAGCCCCGCCAGGUUCAGAGCUCGUCCGCGUCGCCGCAGGCUCGACUCCGUCGCCGUAUUCUUGUCCUUGGGUAAGGAGGUAUACCCAACUUCCACCCUGCUCCUUCUUGUCGUCAAUAGAUCACCGUAGGCGCUGCUUCGAUUCAAUCUUUCCCGUACUCUCGGUGCUCCGACGAUCUCUGUAGUUUUUAGUUGCGCAUGUUUUGCUGCUGCACGUGCACACGCUCUCUCCCCUGUUCCCACGUGCUCGCGCUCGCUCGCUCGCCGCGCCCGUAGCCCCGCUUGCAUCUGCACCCGCGCGCGCACCCUGCCUGCUCGCGUCGCUCGCUCGCUCGACGUUCUGUACUGCGCCCGAGGCAAGCACGAGCUCGUGCUCGGGCACCGCAAGCAUGCGCCUUCCACAGCCGCUCCGCGUGCACGCCUGGCCCCGCCUUCGAAUUCCGCACCCCCACCGGUGACCCUCUGCUUGGGUGGUCGCCGUCGUGUUCGCUGGCAGCAGUGCCGUUCUCGCACCAGCAGCCCUCACCUAUCGUUAGGACAAGUAGCCCAGCGACCGCUUCUUGUAACAACAGAAGCAGCAGCGUAGCGGUUGUGGUCUUGCUGUUCCACCCAGGAGUGCAGGGUUCGAAUCCCAGCCUCCACAUUUUUAUCUUCGGCCUUUUAAUUUCUCUUGGGGCACUGACGUCUCGGCCCCACUGUCAUACACACACCCGCAUUGACCCACUGUCAUACAAACACGCACACAUGUCCCUCUUUUUUUUUUUUGUAUUUUGUUCUAUUACCCAGCGCUUUCCAUUUCUGGAAAGUCCUCUCUUUCCAUUUCAGGCAGAUCCAAAUCUGGACAUUUCAUUUCUGGAAUACUGCCAAUUCUGUCAAUAGCCAUUUUAGGCAGGUUUUAACUUAAUGCACUUGUGUAUGAUUUUCUACAGAAACCCCAACAUAUUAUAUAUGUUUUUGGGGUAGAAAAAUCCCACCAAUCCAGUGGUGGCAUUAGUUUCUGCAUUUGAGCAAGUUCAUGGACUUGUCAUUUUACAUCAUGAUGUUGUCUUGUCAUUUUUGUGUGGUUUAUUUCAAGCAUGCUAUGAAGUUGUUUUGCACAAGGAUAGCUUCAUUUUCAUGUCUACUUCAUGCUAGUACUUGAUCCAUGCCAUGACAUGCCUGGUAGUGAGUUGAUCAAGCCUGUAGAGGUGCCAUGAUGAAUCUGUUUCUGCUAUGUCUAGUAUUUCCACUAAGUCUGUAGAUACUGUUAUCUUUUGCAUUAUUGCCAUGCUAUUUUAGUCAUGCUCUAGUGGUUUAUAGAUUGAGCUCAGUGUUCAUGUUUCGUAGAGCAUCUCUUGUACAUCACUGCUAUGCAUUCUGUUCAUAUGUUUGGGUGCUAUAGCUUGCUCAUACUUUGCAUCCAAGUGGCCAUGUUGUUGUUUGCAUCAUAUCUUGUCGUGCUUGUCAUUUGCAAACCGUGCACCCGAAUCCGGUGAUCUCUAUAUCGAUUCCAACCGAAAUCAUCUCAUCUUUCCAGCGGCAUACUUGGGUUGCCAAGUUGAUGCCUUGUUCUUCAUCUUUCCUUCCGAAGCACGCAUAUGCUUUGCAUAUCACAUCUCGCAUAGCAUGACAUGUAUUGCAUCAUGUUGCUUGUGCAUUGCACCGUGAUUUAUUGUGGUUCCUUUGCUUGUGUUCUUGCUUUGGGUAGAGCCGGGAGACGAGAACGCUUACGAGGAACCUGUUGAGUACGCUUACGAGGAUCCAGCCUUCGACAACUCUGAGAACCUUGCAGGCAAGAUGACCUUACCUUCGAUAUCACUUCUAUCUCUGCUUGCUAGUACUCGCUCUAUCGCUAUGUUAGCUCUACCUGCCAUUGUUUACCAUGCCUACCUAUUGCCAUGAUAAACCUCUAAUCAUCCUGUCCUAGCAACCGUUGAUUGGCUAUGUCACCGCUUUUGCUCAGCCCCUCUUAUAGCAUUGUUAGUUGCAGGUGAAGGUGAAGUUUGUUCCUGGUCGGAACAUUGUUACUUUGGGAUAUCACAAUAUCUCCUGUUUAAAUUAAUGCACCUUAUAUAUUUGGUAAAGGGUGGAAGGCUCGGCCUUAUGCCUAGUGACUUGUUCCACUCUUGCCACCCUAGUUCCGUAUACCGGUGUUAUGUUCCUUGAUUUUGCGUUCCUUACACGGUUGGGUGAUUUAUGGGACCCCCUUAAUAGUUCGCUUUGAAUAAAACUCCUCCAGCAAGGCCCAACUUUGGUUUUACCAUUUGCCACCUAAGCCCUUUCCCUUGGGUUUUCGCGAGCCCAAGGGUCAUCUUUAUUACCCCCCGGGCCAGUGCUCCUCUGAGUGUUGGUCCAAACUAGAGCCCUUUGCAGCGCCACCUCGGGGAAACUUGAGGGCUGGUUUUAGUUGUACGGACUGCUAAUCCGUUUGUGCCCUGAGAACGAGAUAUGUGCAGCUUCUAUCGGGAUUUGUCGGCACAGUCGGGUGGUCUUGCUGGACUUGUUUUACCAUUGUCAAAAUGUUUUGCGAACCGGGAUUCCGAGACUGAUCGGGUCCUCCCGGGAGAAGGUCUAUUCCUUCGUUGACUGUGAGAGCUUGUGAUGGGCUAAGUUGGGACACCCCUGCAGGGUAUAUAUUCUUUCGAAAGCCGUGCCCGCGGUUACGAGGCAGAUGGGAAUUUGUUAAUGUCCGGUUGUAGAUAACUUGACACUUGACCUCUUUAAAAUGCAUCAACCGAGUGUGUAGCCGUGAUGGUCUCUUCUCGGCGGAGUCCGGGAAGUGAACACGGUUUGUGUUAUGCUUGACGUAAGUAGUUUCAGGAUCACUUCUUGAUCACUUCUAGCUUCUCGACCGACGCGUUGCUUCUCUUCUCGCUCUCACUUGCGUAUGUUAGCCACCAUAUUUGCUUAGUGCUUGCCGCAGCUCCACCAUAUUACACCUUUCCUACCUAUGAGCUUAAAUAGUCUUGAUCUCGCGGGUGUGAGAUUGCUGAGUCCCCGUGGCUCACAGAUUCUACCAAAACAGAUGCAGGUGCCGAGGAUACUGGCGCAGAUGGAGCAACUGAGCUGAAGUGGGAAUUUGAUGAGGCCCUUGGUCGUUACUAUGUAUCGUUUCCAGAUGAUCAGUAGAGGAGCCCAGUCGGGGCGAUCGGGGAUCUAGCAUUUGGGGUUGUCUUCUUUUCAUUUGAACUUGACCGUAGCCGGUCUAUGAGUGUACUUUGAAUGAUGUAUGAUCUUAAUUUAUGUAUUGUGUGAAGUGGCGAUUGUAAGCCAACUCUCUUUAUCCCAUUCUUGUUCAUUACAUGGGAUUGUGUGAAGAUGACCCUUCUUGCGACAAAACCACCAUGCGGUUAUGCCUCUAAGUCGUGCUUCGACACGUGGGAGAUAUAGCCGCAUCGUGGGUGUGACAACUAUAUAUGACAUUGAGAGCAUUUCCUAUGAGAGGAUGAGUGUGACCACCACUAGCCCCACACAUGAGAGCAUGCCACACAUCAUAUGUGAGGAUGAGAGCCAUUUGAGUGACUCCACCAACCAUAUGAGUUGAAGCAUCCUUAAGGGAGUGAGUGAGCCACAACACUUAGUGAGUGAGGUAGUUGAGAUGGCAUGUGAGGCCACUAUGAUUUCUAACGACUUAACCUCUACUCCUAGUGUGUUUUCUUCUUUGGUGCUAGGUCUCCUACAUGACGACAUGCCUACCCUCGACGAGUCCAUCCCUCCAAUGGGAAAACCGAUGGCCAUGGUGGACGAUGAUGCACCCCCACAUGGUUCCAUCAAGAUGAAGAUGACAACGAGUGGAUCUUCAACACCUCACCUACAACAGAUGAGCGGUGCUCCAAAGGUAACAUAUGUGAUGGUGCUUCUCUUGCUCCAAAGGUAACAACUACGCACUUCUAUUGUACCUGACUCUCACACAGCUAUGGGCUAUUUACCACUUGUCACCUUAUGCCCAUACCAUCCUGUUCACUUUGCAUGUUAUGCCUCUUUACAUGAUUUUGCCAUGCAAUUGUGACCCUUGCUUGCAUCUACCCAUGAUUCACCAUUAUGCUACUUCUAUGUGUAUUUGCAUGCUUGGUGGAGAUCCUUGUUGCUUUUUCCAUGAUUUCUUUGUGCCCCAUGCUAUUGAUGCUUGUUGUGUUGGGAGAGUCAUGAUGUCCCAUUGGUAUUUACAUAUGGCCUCUCGCCAAUACAUUGAUGAUAUUUUUCUCAUAUCUUACUUCCAUGCUUGUGAUUGUCAUGUCCAUUAUUCAUGCCCACUAUUUGCACACAUGACAUGCUUGCCAUGAUUCCCUCUAGUAUGUUGCAUCUUCGCACUACUAGCUUGCUUGAGUUGAUCGCUAUGAUUGCUUGCUAUGUUGCAUCACCCAUGUUCCACUCUUACUCGCUUUCUUGGGUUGGUGACAUAUAUGUUCAUGCCUCCCACUUGAUUUGUCUUGAUCAUUGUCUCUUGUGUCCAUUAGUUGCCUCUUUCAUAUCCACUUGUAUUGAGUGCAACCAUACUAUGCUUAUUGAUCUUGGAGACUUUGACACCUUACUUGUGAUGCAUGCUUGUUUGAUUGAGCCUAAUGUAUUUGGUUGUUCUCGCAUCAUAUGCCUCCAUACUAUGAAAUGAUCCCUUGUCCUUUCUUAUGUUGAGCAUGAUGCAUACACUUGUUGGGUAUCUCACCACACGAAUGAUGUGUUUUGCAUUUCCGCUAACCUCUUGUUUUUUGAGUGUUUGCCAUGUUCUUUCAUUUUGAAGGAUUCACAAGGCAUUACCGUCAUGAGACAUAUUGGUUAUGUGAAGGCAUACAAGAUGUGCAACUCCAUCAUCCUUGAGAAACUCCUAAAGGUGACCUCCUUCCCUUUGAGCCAUCCUCAAUUACGCAUAUUGGAUGGGUCAUUCUUUCAUUGUUGUUUCCUUCUCCUUGUCUACAUGAUACAUCUAUUGGAGGGAGGACCGACAUUGAAGAUUGGCUCUAUGGACCUUCACAUUGAGGAGCGCUCGCACUUAUUGGAUGCACCUUCGGAACUCCACUCAUGCCACAACAUCGAGCAUUGGUACACCAACACCUCCAUAUUUGUUGAUUGUGCUCAUAAAUGUCAUGCUCGAUGGACAUUUCAUACUCACCACAAGUUUUCACCGUAUGCAUGGAUUGACUCACAUUAUGCUUGUCUUGUUGCAUCUAUUUCCAUGUCAUCCAUGAUAUAUGAGCUUGUGCAUUUCCUUAGCAAAUUUGUUGUGAUCUACCUUGAUGGCAUAUUCAUACAUCAUGAUCAUAUUGCCCACCAUCAAUUGCAUGAUACCAUACACAUAUUGAGCAUCCAUUGCCAUAUUCAUGCUAUUGAUGAACCGUCUCUCUAUGACAUCAUUUUGCACAAUGGUAGAAUUUGUCGCUUUGUGCACCAUGCUAAUUACCCCAUGAAUGCUUUGCAUAUCAAUCUAUACCACCUUGAUAAGAUUCAUGCGCUUUGUCAUGAACAAUCUUGCCGAACGGACUCAUACUUACUUAAUGGACACUUUGUGUGCGCUAACCAUUGUAUUUCCGAGUGUCGCUUGUGUUUGCUUUUUUUGCAUGUCUAUCACUCCGGUGACACCUUGGAGUACUUGGAUUGCGCCAUGUCUUCCACUUCGUCCAACUACAAGUCCGUCCAUGAAAACCGUUUCCAUGGUGAUGAGGAUCACGAUCUGAGGUCGGAUCUUUCCCGGGGGGGGGGGGGAGAUGAUGCAGAGCAUCCUACGAUCAUCCCCAUGUACACUUCGGCUACUNNNNNNNNNNNNNNNNNNNNNNNNNNNNNNNNNNNNNNNNNNNNNNNNNNNNNNNNNNNNNNNNNNNNNNNNNNNNNNNNNNNNNNNNNNNNNNNNNNNNNNNNNNNNNNNNNNNNNNNNNNNNNNNNNNNNNNNNNNNNNNNNNNNNNNNNNNNNNNNNNNNNNNNNNNNNNNNNNNNNNNNNNNNNNNNNNNNNNNNNNNNNNNNNNNNNNNNNNNNNNNNNNNNNNNNNNNNNNNNNNNNNNNGGACCAUACGCCAUUGGGCACAAGGUGAACUCACUCCUUUUCGAACCGUCACUUUCCACAUGUGAGACAUGGCUACUACCUCAUGCAUGGACCUUGCAUAUACUCAGGUACAUCCGAGAUGACCAUGGAGGAUCCAAGGACCAAGGCCAAGCAUGGAAGAGGAGAAGGAAGAAGAAGCAGGGACAAGCUUCUGGAAAGCCCGGAACUUCCGGCCCCCGGACCUUUCGGCCUGCCCGAAACCUCCGGCCCCCGGAGUCCAGACCAGCUCCGAGCGCGCCAACUCUCUGGAUAGCCCGGAACCCGGCCAGAACCUACCCGGAACUUCCGGCCCUGCCCGAAACUUCGGCCUGCCUGCGAGCAAAGACUCGUGCCGAAGCCCAUGUAACCCUUUCCCACUUACCCCUUCGUGGCUUAGACUAUAAAUAGACCAUCCCUCCUCCUAGUUAGGGUUAGCAAAGGAUUAGCUAUUUGAGAUAGAGCUUUGCUCAUCCAUACGGAUCUCCUCCUCGUGAGAGACCGCGGCCUCUUCGAAGAAGAUCCACCUGGAUUCAAGACCCCUUUACGGGAAGAUCCCUCGCGGAUUCAAGACCUCCUCUCGGAGAUGAACUACUGCCACUUGUAUCAUCCUUUGUUGGAUUCGAACUGUGUAUCUCUUUGUGUUUCUUGGAUCUAGCAUAUGUGUGACGGGAUCUCGUUGGUUGAGUGUUUUCUUUUGUGUUUUCCUCGUGUUCCCCUCGUUUCCUCUCGUGUUCUUUGUGUUCUUGGUAGGAUUCCUUUCCAAACGUGAAAGAUCGGCCUCUAGGAUUCUAUCCUACAUCAGAUACCGUAUCAAUAAGGUGCCCAUGAGGAUAAUAUUUAGCUUUCAUCACCUUUGCAUACAGAGAGUCCGGAAAAACCAAUAGACGCCAAGCUUAUUUCGUCAGAAGCGCUUGAUUAAAAAUCCACAUUUUGCAGUGCGGUCGUUCUAAGGACUGGUGUUAGCUGACACGAUCGGUUAACUAGUAUAGUAAAAGAAAAUAAAAACUCCUUAUGUAUGACACCAAAGCAUCCUCGUGGAGUUGUCAAUUGCAUUUGGUGCUUGAGAUUUGCAAAUUGAUAGAUGAUGUGUGUGUGUGUGUAUAUAUAAUAAAAGUAUUUUAGGAUUAAAUAAACAUAUAUUUAAGAGAAAAGUUAAAUAAUAAUAAAAAUAUGGAGAGGGGCAUGAGUUAGAAAAAGAAGGAGAAAUGAUAACUGGGGAACAUUCCCUAGGAGGGAGGUCCAGGGAACGACCUCGUAGCCUUCUGAUCGAGAUCACACGGAUGGUAAUAUUUUUUCUUUUAAAUCGCUGACAUUUUUUUGCGCUACAUAUGACCGUUUUCCCUUCCGAUCAUGGCAAUUUAUGUAAAGUUGCCAUGGCAACUUUAUUCGAAAUCACAUGACAUUUUGAGUGUUCGCUGGGAAAACGCUCCCAGGGAACAUUCCCCAGAUAUCGGUGUCUAGAAAACAUACGCCUAUGUACUCUCGGCAAGAAAAACAAACAGUUCAGCGUGCUACAACAAAUAUAUUUUUUCGAAAAGGAGGGCAUCGUUUUGGCCAUGCAUAUAUCUAUUCACUACCACAAAUAUAUGUACUGAAUUGCUUAAUUUUCCGAUCAUUGCCUUGGGUAAUCUUACAUUAUUUAUCAUGAUGUUUCGGUACAUGGUUUCUGAGAACAUUUGCACUGCCCGAGCCAUAAUUGAUUUCUCAGGUAAUCAUUUAAAAAAAUCCACUUGUUGACGUGAAUAAAGUUGUCUCACAUAAAAGCACGCGCACACACACGCACACACACGCGCACACACACGCGCGCGCACAUGCACGCGCACGCGUACACACACACACACUUUAAGACACGAGAGCAUAGUGUUACGCUUCUCGUUUCUUCAGCUUCACUAUGAGCCCAUAUUUCAUCUGCAGUAAACAAGACAGCUUGGGCUGGAUGCUCUGACCUUCCACCAGCUCCACAUCAAAGUUCCACAUGACUGUGGCGACGAUGGUCUUCAUCUGCAUAACCGCAAUUUCCUUGCCCAUGCAAACCCUCGGGCCCGAGUUGAAGGCCAGGAACUUGUGAGAAGGUACGUUCUUGAGCUUGUUGUUGUCUUCCAAGAGCCAUCUGUUUGGGUUGAAGUCGAGGCAGUCUUUACCCCACAAGCUCUCCAUUCUUCCCAUGGAGUAGAGAGAGAUAAAGAUGGCAUCACCGGCAUGCACCUCAUGGCCACUUGGCAUGAUAUCAUCAGUAACCACUGUCUUGCGCUCCGUAUGCGCUGGUGGAUAUAGCCUGAGAGUCUCGUACAAGGUGGCUCUCAGAUACACGAGAGAUUUGGUGUCCUCCGGCUCAAAGACCAUUGCACCCAUACCGUUGGCUGCUUUGUGCGAUGCAAUAGGUGAGAGUUCCUUACGAAUGAUUGACACGAUGUUAGGAUUCUGGGCAAGGUUGUAGAAUAUCCAUGGCAGGGUCGUGCCAAUUGUGUCCCUCCCAGCGAUCAUGAAGUUAAUGAGUGUCGCACGGAGCAAGUCAUCAUCAGCGAAGUCCGGGUCAUUGAUGUAGGAAGAUAAAAUAUCACCUACAACCUCUUCAUUCUCAUUGUGGCCAACAUUUUCUCCGUUCCUCUUCCUCCUGUCCAUCGUAUCCACAACAAACCUGUGGAGCACUUUCUUCGCUUCGAGGAGCUUUCUCUCAGGACCAAUAUUUAGCCACCUCAUUGCCUUCCACAAAGAGGCUGGCAUGGUGUGCCGGAGAAAUCCCACCUCCAUGACUGUGUCCAUGGCAGUGGAGGCAUCAACCGGAGGCAUGUCCGAGGACAGGAAGCCAGGGUCCACGCCAAAGACUGCCAUGGCGGUCAUGUCAAACAUUAACCUCACCAUUAACUCUUGCAUGUCGAACGAAGUGCCGGUAGUCGCCAUGCGAGCAAGCAAUGGGAGGAGGUGGUCCUUCACCUUGUCACAGCAAUGGGCUGCCACACGAUCAGUAAACCACGGGCUGCUGACCACGCCCGCAAAUUUCACGCGCCGCCGACGGCACAGCUCGCCGUCGAUAGUGAAGAGGCCACCAGCCAUGAUGUCGAAGAUGGCGGCGAAUUCCGCGCCCUUGGGGAAGUUGUGGUAGUUGGUCGUGAAGAUGUGCUGGAUGUUGGCAGGGUCGCAGGUGAUGAAGAAUCGCAUCCCGGCUCCAGGUGGGCCGUCCCCAUUGAAGUUGAGGCCUGAUCCAGCGAGGACCACAGAGCUGUACUCAUGGAAGUUGUACAUGUUGGCCAAGAGAGAAGGGAGCAUGCCUAGUAUUGGCAAUUUUGUGGGGAGCACUGCUUCUGCUGGGUUAUUUGAUCUUCUACGACUAGACCGCAGCAGGUACAAGUAAAGGCCUAGGGGAACAAGUAGCACAAGUGCUGUGGAGAUGAGUGACAUUAUUAUCACUAGCUAGUGUGUACAUGGAUGCUGUAAGGUGCAAUGGACAUGGCGAUGGCUUCAUUUAUAUAUAGAUAAGUUGUUCCUUGGUCUGAGUCCAUUGGUACCAGAUGCGUUGUGGUGCACGAUAUAGCAUGCGUUCUGGUGCACGAUAUAGCAUGCGUUCUGUGCACAAAUAUCAUGCGUUCUGUAUCGUAUGAAAUAGCAUAAAACUUGUAAGUAUAUACCUCAGUUAAUCGAUGUGAUAUUAACAAAGGUAUUUAAAAUCGUCACGCGUAUGGUACCUCAAUUAUUUUUGUUGUGCUGCUGCUGCUGCACUGGAGUAGUGGACAAAAACGUAUGAAUGUUGCUGCUGGAACAGACGACAGACCAUGGCAAGCUCAUCGUGUUCAGGAGACUUGUGCACUGAAGGGCAUCCAGCUCAACUCUGAAGCUCGCAGCUGUGGAUGAGGGGCGACCUGACAUAUAUGUAUGAAACCUGGUACCGUUAUUUGUAUUUCACCAGAUAAUAGUAGAAUUUAUGAAUAAAGCCGAUAGUACCACUAAAAUGAAUGAAUAAAGCCGAUAGUACCACUAAAAUGUAAACAAAAACCAAAGCUAGCAUCGUUUUCUUUGCAAAAACUCAAAACCAAAGCUAGAAGAAGAAAAAUCAUGGUUAGUAGGUCACCACCAACAGUUCUGCGCAAAAGCUCAGCACAACUAUCUGAUGCACAGAACCCCUAAACCUGGCAUAACUGAACGCUCUGUUUUCAGAUAGAGCGACAUUGCAAUAGCAGUUACAGACAUUCUUAUAUUUGGGUAAUCUGGAGAUACCACGACCAUGGGAACGUGACGUCAUCCAGCGUCUAGUAUGCCUACGAGUCGGGAUCAGCGUGGCUAUGCCGAUGUGCUGAACUCAGCAUGGCUCGCACAGCAUGCAUACGGUGAGCUGAUGCACUGAAAUGCUAACUUGAUUUUGUGUCUUAGUAACACUAAAAUGAUACGAGGGACAGGUUUAGGUAACAAUGUUUCCCUUCAGGAAGCACGGACGAGUACUCACGGAACACGGCGGAGCCGAGCAAGCAUGGGGGGCCGUCGGCGCUCGAUCAGUCAAUGGUCACUAGGUUGCUAUUCCAGCUAUGAACGGAUGGGAAUAAACACAAGCACCUGGCGUGCAAGGAGUGAAGCAGGCAGGCAGAAACUGACCUAGUGGCGCUUCCAGAGGACGAAGGAGAGGUCGCCGGCCAUGCCGUGGGCGCGGUUCACCCGGACGGACGUCGACGAGGCCAGCUCCACGGUACCACAGGCCGCAGUCGCCGUCGUCGCCGCCUUGAGUUUCGCGGCUUCGCGCCAUCCGGUAAUGCGUCGACGCGGCCAGCUCGGGUGUUUGACUCAUCAGGAACAGGGGAAGAGAGAGGGUUUGUUGGGCGAUUGAUGGUGGGCUACUCCAGUAACGUGCUUGCUGCAGUGGGCCGUGUAGAUGGGUCUCACAGGCCGCCUUUGACGGCCCACUUAGCUGCUCGGCACAAAAAAAAAUUCCCCGAAAAGAUCCUCAUUUUUUUAAUUCUCCUAAAAAAGCAACAGUAAUUAAUUCAGCUCCCGGAUCACCGUUGCAUGUCGCCCUCCUAUGUUUUCCAGAAAGGAGAUUUUGAGGCCUGCCAGUUCAUCAAUGAAUCUAAAAGAAGGAAUUUCGAAGCUGAUAACCUAGCUAAAUUUUCUUUAUCUUUGGGUCUUGAUAGACAUGUGUGGUUAGUUGAGCCACACGAUUCUGUAACAAUUCAUGUGAACCACGUUGUUGAAUAAAGUGCGGCAAAGUUCUCUAAAAAAAGUAACUGUAAUUGAUAGUAAGAAACAUGCAGACAUCGGAUGCCCAUUUAUUCAGGCGAAGAAGAACAACAACACUAGAGAACCACACCGGCAAACACCAAGUGCAAACAUGAAACACAGAAAAUCUUCCAAAGAUAAGCAAAACUAAAAAACAACUAGCGUUGAAGCCGGAAACACGGGAAAAACGGCAUCCAUGAGUAAGCAUCAUCUGUCAAACACAAUGGAAGGGGUCGCCAAACCUACGGAAUCGGGAUGGAGCACACACUGCAAGAGCACCUGAUAGAAAGGAAAUUGAAGAACACAAACAGAGCUGCUGUUUGGACCUCACCUUUGGGUGACAGUCACACAUCAGCAGGGUAAUCAGAUAGAUGUUCAAAUGACUUCGCCACACCAACAACACAUUGUAACACGCUUAAUGACAUCAACAUCUGGCUUUUCUCUAUGUAGAAGUAUCACACCAGGCUAGCAAAUUAGUUAGCCUCUUGUGGUUCUGUGCACCUUGUAACUGUUUUUGACAAGUGUUCAGCAGUUCAGGCUGGCCUAAGGCCUGCCACAGUUUACAGUCAAGAAAAAUCAAUUGGUACUCGCUCCAUCCCAUAAUAUAAGAGCAUUUUUUACACUAGCGUAGUGUCAAUAACGCUCUUAUAUUAUGGGACAGAGGGAGUAGAAUUUUCAGUGCCAAUAAGUCAUUGUUACAGUCAAGAAAACUAAUUAGUAUAGAAUUUUCAGUGCCAAUAAGUCAGACCACAUAGCACACAUCCCCAAAGAGAAGUUCCGUCUUACAGUGGAUACACAUGAUAAAAUUAAACCCGAUAUAGUACUACUAGAUCUUCACAUUUUGGACCAAAUUCUCAGCCAGAGUGCCCACAUUACUUAGGCCCUGUUCGAUUAAUCCCCUCACCAAAGGGAUUGAAGGGGACUGGAGAGGUUUGAGGGGGAUUUAGACUUGCAAGAGAUUUAAUCCCCUUUGAAACCUCUUCAAACCCCGCCUAACCGAACAAGCCCUUAAGGUGGGGCGACUGUGCCUAAAAUGUCCACCAUAAUUGAUGGACAGCUUGUUGUGAGGUGCUUGAAUCCGUCAGUCUCCUUGACAGCUUGAAGCACGCCCUGUGAAGAAAGGUAUCUGAGACAAGCAUUCUUGAGUUGCAACGUGCCGUGCUGCUCCGCUAAAGCAAGGGUGGUUGCAACUGUCUGCACAUCGAUUCUCUGGCAUAGUUUCCCUUCACAAAUAGCCUUUAGCCUGUCCAGUCCAUACCGAUCUGCAGCAACCAACAAGUGCUGCAAUGCCACAUUCUGAUCAACAUCACAGUUGCUUGGCAGAGUAUCAGUGUAUAUGAAGUGAAGAAGUGCCUCAAAGAUGGAAGGCUCCAUGUCAUCAAUCUUGACGUGUUUCAUGGUGGUUUCUUUCAUUUGACCAAAGAGCUCGGCCUUGAAGACAGACGAUCGCGCAGCUAACACGCAUCUGUGUGCAUUGAAGAGUUGAUCACGGACACUGAAUGUCACAUCCAUGCCUUCUCCAUCCUUCAACAUGUUUGCAAAGUGCAUUUGCAGAUCUGACUGCGGAACUGGGACUAUGACUGUGCUAUCUUCUAUGCGAGGCUCUUUCAAGACCGUCAAAACACAUCUGAUUGUGAAGCGGUCGUCAUUGCGGGAUAGCAGUUCCUUAAGCUUGGAGUUCUCAAUAAACUUUUCCCAGCCCCAAGUACCACCUACUGGCUUAAAGGUUAAUGUCGAGCUCUCUAGCUUAUUAACUUUUCUAUCUUUCUCCAAUAAACUAAAAGUGAACUUCACCUUUGCAUCUGUAGUCCCACUGCAGAAACACAAGAAGGCCGACAUGUAGGCACCUGUAUCCUCCUUCCAUCCAUCAGGAUAUAUUCUGAUGUUCCAGCCGUAGCCGCCGACGUUGAAUGUGCUCGAGCUAAUGAACUUGCCCGCACUCAUACCCUGGAGCAGAGAGUAGCUAGUCACCUCAAAGUUGUGGGCGGUGGUGAUGGACUCUGUCAGGCAUCUCGAGGAGGUCUCGGUAAUGGGUUUGUUAACUGAAGAAGCGAAGUUGUUGGCCAUGGCAGCGGAAGUUAUGGGUGUUGCGGUCACUUGAAUGCUCAUGUACGUGCAUAUAUACUCAAUGUGUGCACAGGAAGACGUUUAGCCUUCAGCAAACAUGGCGUUCACGUUCAACAAGCAUCCAUUGUUGGCACAGCCCCAACCAAUCCACCGAGUACUGACCGAUACUUUUGGCAGCAAUCUGCCUCAACACAUAAUUCUUACUGCCAAGCAAUCUGCGCGCUAACCUGGGAGUGGCACGAGAAGCAACAAACAGUUAAAACAGACGUAACCUAAGAAAGUAAGUCAUGGAAUGAUUCAUGCAAAGGAAGUAAUAACAUGAUGAUAUAUGGGUAUAUAAGCAAAACACUUGGUACCAGUGAUUUCCACACAAGCCCAUUGUUAGGCUAUUUUAUCAUCGCGUGCAGAUCAUAGAUUAAAUAACUGGACCAGACUGCCAGAAGAAAAAGGGAACCGGCGACCCUGGCGGUUUAACCGAAAAAGGGUUGCCCCCGCUUUAUAUCAUAAAGCAAACAUCACCACGAUCCGUCGUAGUCUAGGUGGUUAGAAAAACCUGUACUCGGCUCUCACCCGAGAGACCCUGGCGGUUUCUUCCGCUCCACAAACCAUCCCACCACCGAACCGGGAAAAACCUGUCGAAUCGGUCGGUUUUCUUGCAUAUCAUAGUGCUGCUAGUCCACCUUCUUGCAUAUCAUAGUACCCCGUACAACGAAGCCAAGGAAGCCAAGCAAGCGCGAGAUCAAGGGCUCUCGCGCUCAGCCAGUGAGUGGUCAGGUGAUCACUAGGUGGCUGCUCGAGCUAGGAUGCUAUGGGGACAUACAGCAAUAAACACAAGCACCUGAGGGGCAGGUCAGAGCAGAUACCUGGAGGCUCUUCUAGCGGACGGAGGAGCGGGCGUCGAUGGUGCAGUCGAGGAAGUUCAGAUGGCCGGCGAGGUGAUUCGGCGCACCGCCGUUGCGAGCGGCCGUCGAUCAGGUGGGCCUCCACGCGACCACGCGUCUCCUCCCCCUCGCCGCCGCCUGCGGUUUCGCGCCGUCUCCGGUAUUGCGAGCCCUCGUCUGCUUGGGCGCCCGUUCAACAACGAGCAGAGAGAAGAGAUGACUGCAUUGCUUUUACGGGCCUGGUAGAUGGGCCUAAUCGAGAGAAGCCCCAACUGUUUUGUCAUGGGCUGAACACCUUUAGUUUUUUCGAGAAGGUAUUCGUAUAGAUUUGACUAAAAAAAAGGUAUGCGUACAGAUUUUUUUAGAUUCGAAAAAAGUUCCCAUGAGAAGACUCUUGUCCUCGAGACCAACACAAUCGAGAAAGGGGUCGGAGCCAUGAUCUCAGUCGGGCACAGGGACCGCGCAGCUAGGGCCUCUCAACGCAUGAGAAGGAGUGUUUGGCAGUUUUCAUGGCUGCCGACCAUUGGCGCUCGUGUAUCAGAUGGGCGAGGUCCUGACUUGCACCAACCAGACAAGCUUCAUUCACUUGGAUGAACAGCGCAUCACGACGCCGUGGCAUCGCUGAGCCUUCACCAAGCUCCUCGGCCUUCAUCACAACUUCACAAGGAUGUUUAUAAGUAUUUGAUUUACUCUUUUUCCUCAAAAUUAUAUAUGCAUGCACGUUUUGGGCCACUCACAAUACAUAGUAUCCUGUAUCAUAUUGCAUGAUACUACUUUAGUUAGUACAUCCACAUAUCAUACAAUAGUAUCAUAUCAUCGCUUCAUUUAUUUAUUUGUAGAACCCCAAUACAAAGUUGUGGAUAAAAUCUACCAACAUUUCUUGUUUGAUGUGCUAUCAUACUUGAAUCUUCUGUCUUAUCCUUGAUCGGAAUGCAAAUACACCACAUCAUCUUUUCUACUUAGGUGGUAUUGCAUGGGAGAGGUCUUAAGUGAAGGGGGACAUUAUAUCAGGCCGGAUUAAUUAAUUUUAUCUUGUGGUCGUGCUAGCUCUUCUUCCACAACUCCUGCAAAUAUGUAACACCGGAGUUUCUACUAUACCCAACAACCGAGAAACAGGUUCGAGUGUUCGACCACCAGGAGGGUGGCUAGCUAGUCUUCACUCUCUGUCUUCUUCACCCCGGCCUGACCUGCAACUCACACAAGGAAGAAUAUGAUCAAUAAUACUCCCUCUGUUAAAAAUUACUCGUCGUGAUUUUAGUUUAAAUUUGAACUAAAACCACGACGUGUAAUUUGGAACGGAGGGAGUACGAGUAUUAAAGUUUGCAUGCAUCAUGCAGUGGCAAUUGCACAACAUGUGUAGCUCCACAUAAUAAGUUUUCUUUUGCCCCAUCCGUAACCUUUACAUCAUUUGUUAGGCCAGAUGAGUUUCCACGUGAUUGAUCGGGUUAUUGUUCCUGUCAACUCAGCUAUUUAUUCCUAUGAUAUGAUUGGUCUGCUGUCAAGUGUAGCUAGCACUUCAUAUGCAGCUAGCUUUUACUACCAUACAGUUCUUCUUUUUUUUGCAGGGAUACAGUUCUUUCUUUGUCGCUAGUUAAUGACUAUGUUAUUUGCUCAUUACCCUGGCACCACUAUACGUUGUCACCUCUCACUUUCGUUGCUAUCACUUCGAUUGCUUAUCUUCUUUCUCUAUCUGUUCCCUGGUUCUCCCACAAAGAACAUGGACCUCAGUCGGCAAAGUACUGCAACCUUUUAGAAUACAUUACAUAUACGGGUUCGUUAGGACAAGUCUUUGACAAACAAUUACUCUGUCUAAUAUCCCCUCAUCUCAAAACAUAGUGCUUAUUAUAAUUUGUCAAAGUCAAAUUUUGUCAAUUUUGACAAAAUUUGUAGAGAGAUUUAUAAACAUCUAGCAUACCAAAUCAACAUCAUUAAAUUCACAUGGAAUAUAUUUUUAUAUAGUAUUUCCAAUAUUUUGUGAACUCCAUGUUUCAAAAAAAAGUGAAAGCUUGACUUUUCCGCAGACCAAUGUGCACUACAUUAUGUGAAGUAGGAAGUAUAUAUUUAUGUGUAUAAGUUAAUGUAACCAGAUUCAUAUUUCAAACUACUCCCUCCGUCCCACAAUAUAAGACGUUUUUGCAAACCAUGUUAUUAUGUUGCAUCACAAAAGUUACAUUCUAAUAAUGUCAUUACUGAUCAAAACAUUGCCCUAACAAAAUCAAAGAUGCAAAUAUAUUUUACUCCCUCUGAUUCAAAAAAUAAAUUUAAUACAUUAAAAAAUAUUUUGAAUCCAGGGGAGUAUAAUUUUUUUCGGGAUAUAGAGCAAGGGCAAUUGAACAAUUCAAACGGUCUCAACCCAAUUGGAUUCAAUGACACGUAAACAAACCGGGUUCACACAAAUGACCUCAUAAUUAUAUAUUUAAGAGAGAGCUAGAUAAGUCCAUGCUCACUGAGAAGAGAAUUAAUCAAUCAUUUGUUUAAUGUUCUCUCUAAACAUAUUGCAUGCACCAAUGACUGAAGAGAUGAGACGAUUGGAAGCUUUAUGAACAUUGCACGCGGUGAAUUAUUAGUAUAUGACAAAAGUACCUCGCAGUGCACCCAUGCACCUCCUUGAUUCAUGAACUGUGAGUUUCAACGCGGCAUCUAGUGUUAAAAUAACUAGUACCAUAUAAUUUUGGUGGAGUGCAAACAUUGGGUGCUAUAGAUAAGAACUAACACUAAUAAUAGAGUAACCCAUUAUAUACCAUGUUUAGAUUACCAUAUCAGGACGACAUGUGUGUUAUGGAAAGGCUAUCUUCCCAACAAUUAUAUGCCCCCUUACCAUCUCGAUCAGUUGCCAUGCUAAAGAUCAACACCGUAACCCCGAGUCGCUAUGGGUACAUCUGCUUCCGGUUAAUUUUAGGAUGUGAUGACGUUACAAACCAGGAUUGAUCUCAGCAAAGAUAUAGAAAUUUAUUUACCUCUUUCAUCCUAAGACAUGGAUUGUUAGACUGGAAUUAUUUUUUCUUAAAAUUUUCUACUUGUUCUUGAAUUCAGGAAGUCUUGCCCUGAUAUCAUGUCAAUUGUCAAGCUUUAUGCACCAAUCAGUUCGCUCAAAACCUUAAGCUAGUGAGAAUAAUCCAAUAUCUAUGCACACUCUUACUUGAAUGAAAAGAUCCUAGUUAAUUAACUAUUGCACGUUCAACUAAUCUUGAGAGGUCGAGGAUAGUGUUAUAAUCUUAUGCUAUGUUUGGAGCACCAGCCAUUAUAUUGGUUUGAUGAUUAGUGGGACAAUUGCACUUCCAGUCCACCAUUCAUGCAUGUGUUGGACCUAUACCUAUUUUAUUGUGAAGGUCACGACACUGGCGUGCUAACAGAUCGAAAGUCACAAUCACAAGUUUAUUUGGAAUUAAGGUUCACAGUUCAGCGCGCCGAUGAGCAGAAUCAAAAGUUACUUCCAGCCUUAGAAAUGACUUCCUUGGGUGUAAAUGAGUUGGAUUAGUCAAAACUAGCUUGUGAACCGAUACAGACUUUUAAGAAACAAAAAAGCUGCAUUCCCGGUAUAUAGAAUUGUAUUUAGGGUGAGUGUAUGUGCGUGUUCAUGAGCAUCAAUGUCGGUGUUUCUAAAAAAAGGGGAGGAAAAACAAAGGCCGUACGCCAUCGAUUGUUUGUCGUAUCAUCUGUUCCCAUAUAUGCCUGCAUGGCUGCACAUAGGGGAUAUUCCUAGCAGCAUUAACUAAAAUAUACCCCCUCCGUCCGAUAAUAUAAGAAGACAUUAGUGUAGUGUAAAAAAUGUUCUUAUAUUAUGAAACGGAGGGAGUAUCUUACAGUACUUAAUAUGUCCUGUUAAAAGAGGUACGGUGCCAUGCCUACAUAUAAUCAGUUGGAGGCACAAAUACAGCGACAACGAAAUUCGAAUUUUUCAAAACCGAGCUCCAUGGAGCUCGGCCUCCAAAAACAAUAUUCGGUGGGGGCAACAUAAUUAAACUAGUGAAGGAGCAUACACACUUGGGACUGCCGCAGAUGAGCAUGGCGAUGCAUUUCCUGAUGAUGUACAGCUUCCCGUGCUGCUGCCUCACGGCACGGCGCAGCCUCCAAAGCUUGGGUCUAUCCUUCUUCUCCUCCAUGUCCUGGUUCUAGCUGAAAGCUUUUUCCUGAAUGGUGAGCGAGCUACAAGCUAACUCCCGGAAAGAGGUAGUAGCCACGAGGCUGGCAUCAUUUGGGAGGAUGGAUCUCAACGCUGGUAUAUAUAGACACCAGCUCUAGCUAGCUUUCAGUUCAGAUGCUGCGCUGCAGAGAUCGAGUACCCGCAACAGGACGGAGUUGCUAGCAACAGGCUGGUGGCUAUCUUUUUCGCUGCAUCAUACUCCUAUCAUGCAUGGGCCACUUCCUUCGGCGGGUCGAUCCCAAAAUUCUGUCAUUUGCUUUUUGUUGAACAUAUGAUUUUGCAUGUAUAUUGUAUAUCCUCGCCCACCUCUAGUCUUUGUAUACUAGAGGUUGAGGCCUAUAUUGUACACUAUAUAUGCGCGCAUAUGCACCUGAUCAGUACUACUCCCUCCAUUUUUGCAUACAAGGCCACAAACCCAUAUUACAGGUAACAAGGCAGAAAUUAAUGCCUACUUAGGCCAAUGUUACAAGCUAGUCUUUUCUUCUCGCUUGACGUGUUAAUUAAUGUGCAUUUUUCUCUUCAACGCACAACAAGACAACCCUCUCACUCUUUGUUGGUUGAUUAAUGUGGUGCAUGAAAACUAACCUUCUCAUGGUAUCAUACCUCUGGAUCCUACCCUAACCCUAAGCCGCCGCUGCUAUCUCCAUCGCCGCCGCUGCCGCCACACCACGCCGCCACCGCGUCCCUCCCAACCGACGCCGCUGCCGCUUCGUGUCGCGCCACCACCCACCUCCCGCUUUCGCCCCCAACCUACCUCCUAGCCGCGUCGCACCUCCCCUGCCGCGCUGCCUAGCCCUAGCCGCACCGCACCUCCUCUCCACCCGCAGCCGCCGUCACCAGAACCUAAGCCGCCGCCCCGUCAUGGACUCCCUGGGAUCCGCCAUGACCAAUAGCUCCAACCCUUUUGCCGGUCCCGUACCCUCCGCCGCCGCCAUCCGUGAUCUCAACAUCGAGGCCCGUGUUCCUGUACGCCUCGACUCCUCCAGCUCCUUGUACUACGCGUGAAAGACCUCGAUGGCUCCAUCGACGACGAGUACAUGAAGGGCAACCCGGAGUGGUCGCCAUCGAGGACACUCUCAUACGAUGGUUCUACCAAACCGUCUCGAAGGACAUCUUCCACAUGGUCAUCGCCGAGGACGACGAUGCUUGCGCCGUGUGGAACAAGAUCAACGCGCUCUUCACCGACAACAAACUUCAGCGCCUCGUUUUCUUGCAGCAAGAGUUCUUCGGGUGCCAUCAGGAUGACUCCACCAUCGAUGGCUACUGCAUGCGGCUCAAGAUGUUUGAUACGUCUCCAACGUAUCUAUAAUUUUUGAUUGUUCCAUGCUAUUAUAUUAUUUGUUUUAAAUGUUUUAUAUGCAUUAAUAUACUAUUUUAUAUCUUUUUUGGGACUAACCUAUUGACCUAGUGCCUAGUGCAAGUUACUGUUUUUCCUUGUUUUUGGCUUUUUCAGAAAGGAAUAUCAAACGGAGUCCAAACGGAAUAAAACUUUCGCGAUGAUUUUUCUUGGACCAGAAGACACCCGUAGGACUUGGAGAGGGGGCUAGGAGCUUCCCGAGGAAGCCAUAAGCUAGGGGGCGCGCCCCUGGGAGGGGGGGGGGGGCUGAGGGCUUGUGGCCCCCUCGGAGGUCUCCUAACCCUAAUUCUUGCUCUAUAAAUUCACAAAUAUUUCCAAAGCACCAGAAGCGUUCACCAAAAUACUUUUUCGCCGCCGCAAGCCUCUAACCUUGUGAGAUCCCAUCUUGGGACCUUUUCCGGCGAGCUACCAGAGGGGGAUUCAAUCAUGGAGGGCCUCUACAUCAACCCUAUCGCCCUACCGAUGAUGCGUGAGUAGUUUGCCAGAGACCUACGGGUCCAUAGCUAGUAGCUAGAUGGCUUUCUCUUUCUUUCUCUCUCUCUCUCUAUCUGAUCUUCAAUACAAAGUUCUCCUCGAUGUUCUUGGAGUUCUAUCCGAUGUAAUACUUUUUUGUGAUGUGUUUGUCGAGAUCCGAUGAAUUAUGGAUUUAUGAUCAGAUUAUCUAUGAAUAUUAUUUGAGUCUCCUCUGAAUUCUUAUAUGCAUGAUUUGAUAUCUUUGUAUUUCUCUUCGAACUAUCGAUUUGGUUUGGCCAACUAGAUUGGUUUUUCUUACAAUGGGAGAUGUGCUUAGUCUUGGGUUCAAUCUUGCGGUGUCCUCACCUAGUGACAUAGUAGGGGCAAUGAGGCAUGCAUUGUAUUGUUGCCAUCAAGGAUAAAAUGAUGGGGUUUACAUCAUAUUACAUGAGUUUAUCCUUCUACAUCAUGUCAUCUUACUUAAAGCGUUACUCUGUUCUUAUGACUUAAUACUCUAGAUGCAUGUUGGAUAGCAGUCGAUGUGUGGAGUAAUAGUAGUAGAUGCAGGCAGGAGUCAGUCUACUUAUCACGGACGUGAUGCCUAUAUUCGUGAUCAUUGCCUUAGAUAUCGUCAUAACUUUGCGCUUUUCUAUCAAUUGCUCAACAGUAAUUUGUUUACCCACCAUAUGCUUUUUUCAAGAGAGAAGCCUCUAGUGAAAUCUAUGGCCCCCGUGUCUGUUUUCCAUCAUAUAUUUUUAGAUCUAUAAAUAAAAGAACCAAAAAUACCUCGCUGAGAUUUAUUUGCUUUUAUUUUGUUUUACAUUUUAGUAAUUAUAUCUAUAUUUGUCAGAUCUCAUCCUUGCAAGUGAUCGUGAAGGAAUUGAAACCCUCCUUUUCGCGUUGGGUGCAAGUGUUUGAUUGUUUGUGUAGCUUCAUAGAUUGGAGACUUAAUUGUACCUCCUACUGGAUUGAUACCUUGGUUCUCAAACUGAGGGAAAUACUUAUCUCUACUUUGCUGCAUCACCCUUUCCUCUUCAAGGAAAAACCAACGCAAGCUGAAGAAGUAGUAGGAAGAAUUUCUGGCGCCAUUGCCGGGGAGGUUCUACAUCAAGCCUACCAAGUACCCAUCAUAAACUCUCAUCUCUUGCAUUACAUUAUUUGCCAUUUGCCUCUCGUUUUUCUCUCCCCCACUUCUAAAACAUUUUAAAAAAAAUAAAAAUAUAUUUGCCUUUUUAUUCGCCCUUCUUUCGUUCAUCUUGUCAUUUUCCUUUUGGUUGCUCGUUAAUACGUCUCCAACGUAUAUAUAAUUUUUUAUUGUUCCAUCCUAUUAUAUUAUCAGUUUUGAAUGUUUUAUAUGCAUUAAUAUGCUAUUUUAUAUCAUUUUUUGGAACCAACCUAUUAACCUAGUGCCCAGUGCCAGUUGCUGUUUUUCCUUGUUUUUUACUUUUUCAGAAAGGAAUAUCAAACAGAGUCCAAACGGAAUAAAACUUGUUGGGAAACAUAGCAUGCAAUUUCAAAAAAAUUCCUAUGCUCACGCAAGAUCUAUCUAGGAGAUGCAUAGCAACGAGAGGGGAGAGUGUGUCCACGUACCCUCGUAGGCCGAAAGCAGAAGCGUUAACUUAACACGCUUGAUGUAGUCGAACGUCUUCUCGAAUCAACCGAUCAAAUACCGAACGUACGACACCUCCGAGUUAUGCACACGUUCAGCUCGAUGACGUCCCUCGGCCUCUUAAUCCAGCAGAGUGUCUAUGGAGUCGAUGAGUUCCGUCAGCACGACGGCAUGAUGAUGGUAUUGGUGAUGUGAUCCACGUAGGGCCUUGCCUAAGCACUACGAUGAUACUAUCGGAGGAGUAAACGGUGGAGGGGGGCACUACUAGAAAAAGGGCCUAAUGUUCAACUCUUUAGUCCCGCUUUGUAAUAGAACCAGUAGUGUCGGUUCCAACGGCUAGGUGGGCAGCUCUCAUUAGUACCGGUUUGUUGUGAACCUUUAGUACCGGUUCGUGCCACGAACCGGUACUAAAGAGGUGGUGGCAGGCUUGUGUCAGGCUGCGGCCCCACCAUGACCUAUAGUACCGGUUCAUUCCAUGAACCGGGACUAGAAGUUCACCUUUAGUCCCGGUUCGUGUAACCGAACGGGACUACAAAUAUCACUAUAUAUAGUGCUUCUUCAAGCCCGAGCCAAAGCCCUUUGUUUUUCCCAUAUUCUCUGUUUUCUUCCCCUCUUGCUCGAGCUCCCACCUCCAUUUUUGCCAAAAUUUUCCAACAUUUGAAGGCACCCCGUCCAUCCAAGUGAUCACAAAGGUUGGCAACUUUGUCCUUUCAUCUCUCAUUGCUACAUUAGCUCUUGCAAUGCUCUAUAAGUAUAGUGAUUUGUGGGUUUUUAGUUUGGGAGGAAUUAUAUGUUGUAGUUUAUUUGAUUUAUAUGCAAUUUGAGGUCAAAAUAACUCUUAGUUUGCAUAUGUAGGUGUGGUUUACUUAGUGCCUUCCCAUCUCCGUCCUAACCACCGUCGAUCGCCCACACCGUCCCAUUGCCGGCACCACCUUGUGGUGAGCCUCUUGUUCUUAUCCUUUUAAUAUAAAAGAAAAAAAAUCAUGUUUGUGUUAUUUAGAUAUAUAGUUACUUGUAUAAUUAUCUUACCCGUACGUUGUUUGUUAUACAUAGUGCCAUAGUUUUGAUAUCCGUCCCCGUCGGCCCUUGUCCGGGUUAUGAUUCGGAUGUGGUAUAUUCUCUUUUAUAACUAUUUGUUGCAUUUCAUGUUUAUGAUAAAUUAUGCCCAUCAAGUUGACAUAGAUAUUUUUAUCUAGGAGGUAUGUGAACCGGAAAUUCCAAACGACCCUAUUGUCGAGAGCUUAAAUUUAGUUGAAAAAGAAAAUGAGUAUUUGAAAGAAAAAUUGAAAAGAAUUGAGGGGGAGAAGAUGGAAUUGGAGUUGCAUGUUGUCGAUUUUGUCGAUGGUCACAAGAUCAAGAUGGAGAAAAUGAGCUUGAAGAUUAGAAAGAUUAGAAAAUAUGCCAUCGAUAGUGAGGCUUGGUAUCAUUAUGCUAUUGGAUCAAUUGUUACCUUAGUUGUGAUCUUGAUCGCAUUUUUUGUUGCAUUUAAAUGCUUCAGCUAGAGAGUUAUGUGUAUGUUGUUUUAUGGGAAUAAGUGUUACAUAAACUUUAUGUAUGAACUUGUAUUAAUUUGGUCUUUUCGGUGCUGUGUAAAUGAAGAUGAGCCGGCAAUGGAUGUACAAUGACCGAUGCUCUCCCCAGUUCAUUAAUGGUGUGCAUACUUUUCUGCUUGCGGCUGAGGCAAAUAAGCAGGCGGAUGGUUUUAUGCCUUGUCUAUGUGCUAACUGUAAGAAUGCUCUGAAUUACUCUCAGUCAAGAACCAUUCACGUCCACCUGUUUGAGUCUGGUUUCAUGCCCCACUAUAAUGUUUGGACCAAGCACGGAGAAAGAUGGGUUAUGAUGGAAGACAAUGAAGAAGAAGAGGACGACGACAACUAUCCUAGCCAUGGGUUCCCUGAAUAUGAUGGUACAACAAUGGGGGAAGAAGCUGAGCCGGCAAUGCGGGAAGAAGCUGAAGAAGAGGCAUCAUAUGAGCCUGCUGAUGAUCUAGGUCGGGCCAUUGCCGAUGCAAAGAGAAACUGCACAAGUGAAAACGAGAAGAAGAAGUUGCAGCGCAUGUUAGAGGAUCACAAGAAAUUGUUGUACCCGAAUUGCGAAGCUGACAAGAAAAAGCUGGGCACCACACUGGAAUUGCUGCAAUGGAAGGCAGAGAAUGGUGUAUCUGACAAGGGAUUUGGGAAGUUGCUGAUAAUGUUAAAGAAGAUGCUUCCAAAGGACAACGAAUUACCUGAGAGUAUGUAUGAAGCAAAGAAGGCUAUCUACCCUCUACGAUUAGAGGUGCAAAAGAUACAUGCAUGCCCUAAUGACUGCAUCCUCUACCGCGGUGAGUACAAGGAUUUGAAUGCGUGCCCGGUAUGCGGUGCAUUGCGCUAUAAGAUCAGCCGCGAUGACCCUGGUGAUGUCGAGGGCGAGCACCCCAGGAAGAAGAUUCCUGCCAAGGUGAUGUGGUAUGCUCCUAUAAUACCACAGUUGAAACGUUUAUUCCAAAACAAAGAGCAUACCAAGUCGAUGCGAUGGCACAGAGAAGACCGUAAGAAAGACGGGAAGUUGAGAGUACCCGCUGACGGGUUGCAGUGGAGAAAAAUCGAGAGAAAGUACUGGGAGGACUUUGCAGGUGACGCAAGGAACGUAUGGUUUGGUCUAAGCGCAAAUGGCAUUAAUCCUUUUGGGGAGUAGAUGAGCAACCAUAGCACCUGGCCUGUGACUCUAUGUAUGUAUAACCUUCCUCCUUGGUUGUGCAUGAAGCAGAAGUUCAUUAUGAUGCCAGUGCUCAUCCAAGGGCCUAAGCAACCUGGCAACGACAUUUAUGUGUACCUAAGGCCAUUAGUUGAAGAACUCUUACAACUGUGGAAUGAAAAAGGUGCACGUGUGUGGGAUGAGCACAAACAAGAAGAAUUUGACCUACAUGCAUUGCUGUUUGUGACCAUCAAUGAUUGGCCUACUCUCAGUAACCUUUCAAGACAUAUAAACAAGGGAUACCGUGCAUGCACGCACUGUUUGGAUGAUAUCGAUAGUAUAUAUUUGGAUAAUUGUAAGAAGAAUGUGUACCUGGGACAUCGUCGAUUUCUUCUGAGCAGGCAUCCCGUAAGAAAGAAAGUUAAGCAUUUCAAAGGUGAGGCAGAUCACCGGACGAAGCCUCGCCAUCGUACCGGUGAUGAUGUACAUGAUAUCACUACAAAAAAAAGA
Molecule: long non-coding RNA, 48798 nt
Filed under: Triticum aestivum (bread wheat)
Lineage: Eukaryota; Viridiplantae; Streptophyta; Magnoliopsida; Poales; Poaceae
Description: long non-coding RNA (TAES_LNC007794)
Source: RNAcentral